Molecule: long non-coding RNA, 49603 nt
Filed under: Musa acuminata (dwarf banana)
Lineage: Eukaryota; Viridiplantae; Streptophyta; Magnoliopsida; Zingiberales; Musaceae
Description: long non-coding RNA (MACU_LNC004973)
Source: RNAcentral
GGCAACAACGUGGCUGCGUUACAAAGCGCUCCCCUGCCAGAUGGCGGUAUCCGCUGCGCUGGUCGCGCCACCUGUCUUUGUGUGCGUCGUGGAAUUUUACGUGUGAUUCUGCAGCAAACUAAACAGGAGAUCCGGAGUCCACAAGCACGCGGCAGCGACAGCCGCCAAACACUGCUCUUCUUCUUCAAAAUCGCGGGAUCCGCUACGGCGUUGCUUCAAGGCGAGCCACCCGCUCCCAAUCUGACACGCGGACCUUGCUUCGUCGUCGUCGUCGUCACUAGCAUCGCCGCCGAAUCGCGCCGGUGGAAACUCUUCUCUGGUCCCCCAUUGGGCGCUGCUUCCCGGCCCGCAGUGGUCAUCGUCAGCGGCACCGAGUAUGGGCGACAUCAAAUUGGUUGUAUGGGAGUCGUUUGAUGAUAGAAUACAUGUUCUGCGCAUAUGGAUGAGUCUACUAUAGCUGCAGACUGACGCAUUGUAUCACCGAACAAAGAGAAACAUGGCGACAACCCAAAACAUCAGAUAUCUAACUAUAAGUUCCAGCAGCGUUCCACAUCAAUGCAACUCUCAUAUGCAGAUUGUAAUAGAAACAUAAGUUAUGAAACUAAUGACUUCAUUUCCCCCCAAAAAGAAAAGGCUUCCGUGUUGCUCAAGUGAUUUGUCAUGCUGGAUCCCAGUAACAUCCAUUAAAUUGGGUCUACAUGAAAUCAAAUAUUGUCUGGUUUUCUUCUUUCAGACACUCUGUAGACUGAGAAAGGAAAAAAUAAUGGAAGAAAUGAAGGCAGUUGUGAAGUUAUCGAAUGGCCAUAAAUAGAGGAAGCAAUUCCUGCAUCGACGAUAAGCAGCAUCAGCAUUAUCCAUCAGAAAAUGGAAAAAGAAUCUUCUUCUCAUAUGUGAAGCUAAUUGCAAUAGAACUUAUGGGGCUCUGUCAAAGGGGGAAGUGUCAUUGUAGCAGAUGUCCCAGACAGCCUCAAUGGCAUCUUUUGCAGCUACAGCUGAGCAAUAUGGAUUGUUCUGAACCGACUUUAGAGCACGCCUUCGCACACAUUCCUUUGUGUCCCCAAUAAAUAUGAGACAAAAUAUUGCAAUUAGUGUAGCCAUUAUUUGAUUAAUACAACGCUGACAGUAUUAACAAGGACAGAGUAGAAAAAUCAUCAGACAACAUAGUUGAUUAAUUCAUGGAGCAUGGUAACAAUUUCUCAUGUGUAUUAAAUAGCAUAUGAAGAGGACAAAAGAAAAAGAGAGAAAGAGUUGGUUUGCAUAACUAGAAGUUAAAGAAAUUUGGCAUCACUACAGGAGCAGCCAACUCUGUUAAGCUUUUGCAACCUACAACUGAUUUCACAUCCCAAGAAAGCUUGUUCAUUCUCUUAUACAACUUUUUAGUUAAAUAUAAUGAUAACAAAACUGAUCAAAUAGAUUUUUCCUGACCUUUUGCAAAUAUUUCUUCAACCAAGAUCUUGCCAUCCAACAGUAAAUAUAUAAAGAAACAAUCGGGUCAAGUUGAACAUAUGUCCAAUGCAUAAGCUGCAUUGGUGUAAAUUCUGCUUUCAGAUUCGAUGUUAUUUUUGUCCACACAGGUGGCACUUCCUAAGUCCAUCCAGACUGACAUUUAUAAGGUUUUGGUUAAAUGUUGCAAGUUCUUAUCACAAAGGUUUGAGGACUCGAUCUACAUGACCAUAAAGACCCAUUUAUUAUAUGUAGGAUGCACGAUUUGCAGCAUAAAAAACCAUCAAGUUAUCAUGAACAAGCCUAUCACCUAUUAAGAAACCAUAAGAAACCAGAGGUCACGAAAUCCUAAGCUGAAGAUGUGGUUGAUGUCCAACAACCUCAUAGAACCAACUUCUUUACAUGAUAUCCAUGCUUUAUUGGCUGCUAUCAGUCUCUUAUCACUACUGAUUUCUGUGUGUCAGAAUGCAUUCAUUCAUUGAAAUCAUAAGUGCUCUAAUUUUAUCAGAUAUUCACCCUCAAUAGAGUUAGUUUCUUAAUAUUGAGUUAGAUAUUCACUAAAAUCACCAGCAAUAGAUAUUCACCCUCAAUGAAAUCAGCAUGAUGACUUUAUUUCUUUAUUUCUACAAGUCCUAAUUUUGGUGGUCUAAUAUGUUCUCUCUAGACUCAUCCAGAAAAACCCCACUCCUAAAGCUUAGUUCUUCAUUUAGUUCACUCUAAGAAACAAAACCCAGUCAGAAUAAAUACUUUCAAAAUAAAGGACAAAUUUCAGAUUUUUUGCAUCUGUCAUGGUCAUGAUAAUAAUAAUUGAACUAUUGAUCAUAUCUUAAGUCAUUAUCAUUAUGCAAGAAUACAGAAAGAAAGUGUGUGUGCAGGGUCUUCAAAACUUUUUCACAUCUAAAUUGGCAGGAGAAAGAGGUGGACUAGAAAUUGUUGGGACAGUACCUUUAUGGACAUUUAGAGAAAAGAAUGAAAUACGAGAACAUUCAAUGGAGUACCAAGGAUUCUUGUACUUUGAUUGGAGAGGUCACCAACAAUUUCUCCCCUCAAAGAAGUCAAUCUUCUACUAGUGACUAAACUUCUGAAAAGCUCUUUACACAAGCUAUUUUGUCAUCCUGAUGAAGCUAGGGGCGAUAUCAAAUGAUGUAUAAGACUUUGCAUAUAUAUUAUUUUAUUUAUUUUUUCCUUUCUUUUUUUCUUCUAUGUUUGCUCACUAACUAAAUGAGAUAAGUCAGCAACAUUUUUUACUUUACCCAAGAAAAUCCCUAUAAGCAACUUUUGACAUGACCAUAGAUAAAUAAUCACAAAUCCAAAGUAAAAAUAGUUUGUAGGGCUCUUACUAAGCCAUAUAGCUACAAAAUCCAAUAUCUGCAUAAAGUUCAUAUUGAGUUCCAAAUGAUUGAUAGAGAUGAAGUAAUGGUAGUUCUUGUACUCAGCCAACUGUUAUUUUAAAGUUUUUACAAAUUUCAAAUUACAACCAAUCAAUACAAAAUUGCAAAAAAAAGAAAGCAUUAAAAUCAUAACUUAUAGAUGUAUGAAGAAAAUAAGAAUAAGAAAAAAAGGCUCUUGACAAAAAGAUUUGGCCAAAGAUACUUCUAGCAGCAGGUCACAGCAGGAAUCAAGACACAUCAUAAGGAAAAAUCUUCAGAAAUAGAUAAUAAUAAGUAAAAAAUUGAAAAGUGGAUUACAAAAGAUCAUGUUAAAAAUUAUAUCAAUGUAGUUUUCCAGUGACAAUCAGGAAAUAGAUGUCUCCAUGUAUAUUCAUAUGUACCUAAAUCAACAUAUGCUGAAUGAUGCUGAUCUUGACAAAUUUCAUAAUAAAUACCAAGGUCCAUGUCCCUAAUUCUCACUUGCAUAUUCUCCAUACUGUGGUUUCAAAAGGGAUAUUAUGGUGCUUGUUCAAGUUUCAUUUCACAAAAUGAUGAUGAUGAUGUUAGGUUGAGCAGAUAUCCUAACAAAGGAAAAAAGUGAAACUGUGUAUGAUUCAAGUAUCACGAUGACAUUGAAUAGGUUCACAAUACUAUACUCUAAUAAAUCAUCUUGAAGUGAUUGCAGUCAAACAAAAUUUUGGUUAAAUAUCAGUGACUGUUCUUGGAGAAGUAUGCAUCUCUAGCGUAAUCUCUCCACAAUGAUGUGAAGGUCAGUGCAGGGCAGGCAACAACUUUCAAUAAACCAUGUGUAAAAUUCAAUUAGUGUGCCCCGCUCUGCAUUGAGAACUAGAACACAUUCAUAUAUAUCUAAAUAUAUCUCACAAAACAACAUAUACAAGUUUAUGCUAGUCCUUGUUACAUUAAAUAGAAAAGCUGAACAAUAGAUUUUCCAAGUUCUAACAUAAACUCACUUGUCCAUGGCCUCGUAUUUUCAAAAACCCACGUAGCAGUUCUCGCUUGUAAUGGCAAUCCCCACUCAGAUGAUUAGCCCGAAUCUAGAAGAACAAGUCAGAGUAUUCAUUCACUUUCAAGAAAAAACAAUCUUGUGAAUGCUACUGAAAACUUUGAUGCAUAAGCUCUGGAUCAAAGACUAUAAGAAACAGUUCUCUGACAUUCCAAUGCCCAGCAACAGACUGAAAGGUCAACACUACAUAAAUGUCUACCAGCAAGUAUUAAAGCCUCCUAGUAAUACUGUACCUCAGAGCAAGCAUGAUGGGCACAAUUUGUCCACUCCAUGUUUUUUGCUCGGCAAUCGUCAUAAGCGUGGAUUAACUCAUGAAUAAUAACUUGAUUUAUCUCAUCUUGAAAAGUCAUAUGAUUACAACAAAUUGUUAUCUGAAAUACAAAAAUUAGUAAAGUUGAAUUAGACUCAGAUGGUCUAUCUUAUACAUCAACAAAUACAAAGGCUAAUUAAAUCAAACAACUCGCUAAGACUUCUUAUAUUAUCUGAACACAAAGUUGCAGAACAAAUUUAUCAGCAAUAAUUGCAACUGUAUUCUCUUUUGUGCUAUUCAUUUGAGAGAUUACAGGGUGCAGUGGAACAAUGUAAACUGCAAUGUGCAUGAGUAUCCAAUUCUAAAAAGUCACCAAAUUCAACCAAGACAAUUCUUGACCCACAGAUAGAACAAGCCACAAUGUACCUUUGUCUAUGGUAUAUUUCUGAAAUUUGCAGAAGACAUGAAGAAAAAGCUCUACAAAUCAAAUCCCAAAAAUCAAUUGGCAAUUCUGAACUCUCCACAGGGAAACAUACUAGAUUUGGCAAAUGAUGUAAGACCCACAAAGAGGCAAACCAGGACCAAAGAAAUACAAGAAACUCUCCAAGUAUAAAAAUGGAGCAGGCAGAUAAAAGUUUGCUAGGUUAGGCAAACCAUUUAGAUGAAAGUCAUUACACAGAUCUAAGAAGUCCUACCCUGCUCCUUCCAACAUUGAAGCAAGAGUUAUGCAUAACAAUUUAAUAUAAUUAUUACACAUUUUGGUUUUUAGUUUGUAAAUAAAAAGUAAAUGAGUUUUCUUUAUAGAAUUUUGUGAUGCAGUUGUCAUCUCAAAUUCUGGAUGUUCAACUGUAGGUAGCUCUGGGACCAGAUAAAUUCUAACUAUUAUAAACAACCUAAGAACAUUUUGUUCCAUGUUCCACAUGCUUGCAGUUAAUCUGGCCUUCACUACGAUUUUGCAUUAAGCUGGAUGGUUGGUAACGCAUUGGCAGCAGUCUUGGAAGUUGACCAUUAACAAUUUAAUUGAUGGUUUUGGCGAGAGGCUACUACUAUAUUUUUAUCCAUACUUCCAUAUAAUAAAAAAACCUGUAACAAAUGUCACGUAAGCUAUAAUAUUACACUAGCAAGUGCCAAAAGAUCACUUAGAUAAAAGUUCUAAAUUUUUUUCAAGGAGAUUAAAAAUUUUGUAUUGGCAUCUUUUCUCCCCAAAUACUUUCCCUCAUAGAUAUUAUGACAUGCUUCCUUCAGUUUAGUGAUUGUUCUUCCCCUGUUGGUCUUCCGAUCAUUGGUCUUUUAUGUCGUGUUCUAGAAAUUCUAUACACCUGAUGGCCUAAUCAUGUUCUACAGGUUUGUUAAUUCCUGGAUGAUAUUUCACAUCUACCUGAAAUACAGUUCCAUUCAAAUUACUACUUGAUCGCUCUAGGAGUCAGCCCAUGUGGAAUUGUGCAUAUCCUUCAUUUGCUACUAAGACAUAAAACCUCAAAGGUGCAUGAGAAGAGAAUAUGUUACUCUAAUUAAAUUUGGAGCAUUAUUCCCUUCUCAAACUUCAAUGCUUUAGGAUUCUAAUCAUGUAAAGAACAACAGGUGGUGGUUCCCAACUUAUUCAGCACAAUGUACCCCUUGGGCUGAUAUCACUAUCAACUACUAAUAGUUGCUGAUCACUGAAAGCCUUUGUGCUGACUUUCCCUUGUGAAACGCUAAUAGAAGAAAGGUCAAUGGUGAUACAACUAAAAAUUAAAAAAGCUGCACCUCAAGUUGUUAGUCCCUCAUGAUUUGGUUGGUUCUUAAGUAUUAUGUUCUUUCAUUCCAAGAUUUAUGUUCUAAAAAAAAAGUAACAAGACUCGAACUACACACACUAAUAACUUAAACCAAAAAGAGGACUGAGCAGAUCUUGUGUGAAAAAGGAGAGAUAAAAUUCGAAGCUUUCAUCUACUACUACAAUGGACCAUCGACAAAAUGUUCUCCUUGGGCACAUUUAAACUGUGAUGAAAAUUUUCUAACCAUGACUGGGAAUGAUUAAAGAGCCAAUCGACCAAAAAGACUAAAUCUUGAUGUUGAACCUGACUAUAUUAUUCAAGACUAGCAUCUAAAGCUUAAAAACACGAAUUGAGCAUGCGAUGUACUGAAGUCCAAUUCAUAUUUAAAAGCAAAGCAAUAGCACGUAAUCAAAUGUCAAUAAUUCCACUUGUUGAGAAGCGACACUGUCCAACAACAAAGCAGAAUCACUUUCUAUCAAGAAGCAAUACCACAUGUUGUCCAAGAGUACGAGAAAGAAGACAACAGAGAAGGGUCAAGUUCUAUAUCAAAUUAAAGAUACCCCACGGCCACUGGCGUAGCCACCGGCGGAACUCUGGCCUUUGCAGGUGAUCGCCGUGAGCAGGCGCGGCCACACGGGGCAACCGGCGUUCUCCAUCUUCUCCCUUAGGAACUUCACCGUGGGAUCUGAUACAACAUCCACAGACAUUACCAAAAGGUUGAAGUGUAAUCACGGAUUGGAAUUCUCCGUAGCGGAGUGUAAGAAACGAACGUGCGAGGCUCUUGUUGAUGCCAUCGACGCACUCCUUGUGGGACAUGCCGCCACCACCGCCGGCUGCAGCAGCCGCGCCCUCCGCGGCCCCGUCCAUCGGCAACGCCUCACCCCCGAUAUCUUCGCUCCUUCUUGGCGGCGACGAAGAAAUCGUUCGACCAGAGCUCUCGGCCUUUCUCAAGCUGCUUCCAUCUUGGCCGUCCGUUUCAUCGUCGCGAGUCCCAUCGUAAAGCGGGUGCGGGUCGGCCACUUCCGCCCGAUGACGUUUACGACUCGUUUACCCGUUUAGCCGCAUGAAAAAGAUCAAAAAAGGGAAAUCUAAAAUAAAAAGAAGAAAAUUGAAAGCCAAAUCAUGGCUUCUCGUGUCCGAAAUUACUAUUGAGCACAAACGUCACGAAGCAUAACGAAUCAUAACGACGGUCGAGAUAAAAGAAUCGAGCCGCACGGAAGGUCCAGAUUAAUUAAUCUUCUAACUUCUUUAUGUUGAGGCACCAUUUGGGACGCGAGAACCCGCAACGAUCUCCUCAAUGGUGUCGGAGUCGGUCAUUCCGCCGUUGACGACGCGAGUCUUUAACCCAACCCUAAUAACUUCCACUUACCCGUUUGUCGAAGUAUAAAGCCGUCACGUCGCAGUCCACCACCUGCACGAGGGAAGGGGCCCAACAUCUCCGCCGGGAAGGCCGUCGCCGGGAUCCUCCGCACAUCGCUUGGCCCCAUGGGCAUGGACAAGAUGCUCCAGAUCCCCGACGGCGACGUCGUCAUCAGUCAGUAUGCGCCCCCAUCUUUCUAUCCAUUGCCUCUGCUUAAAUAUUGUUUUUGCCUGCUGAUCUUGGCGACGAUUAGUGAAAAAAAACCCUAUUUUUCUUCACCUUGUCUUUAUUUUUUGGUUUGAGGAUUGGUUUGAUGACAAUGGAUGUGAAAAAUUAAAUACUGGUACAAUUGGUACAACAGAAUACUAGUACACAUUGGGAUUGCUAUAGCAUGGUUAGUAUAGUGUUUGAAACCAUGCAAAAUAUUUUAGGUAUUAAAUGCUUCAGGCCUAACUUGAUAAUCUUUUAGGUAUCAGUUAUGAAAGUUUAUUUUGUAACUUUCAUUUUCAUAGCAUCUGCAUUGCAAACACUAGAUAGCCAUGCAGCCAUAAGUUUAGAUGUUUUGAGUGUUAAUGCUCUAAAUUUAAGCAUAACAAUGUUAUUUUUAUGAACUGUGAUGAUUUAUAUCUUGGUCAUAUCUAGCAAUAUUAAGAAGUAAGAACAUCCUCCUACCCAAAGUAGGUGUUUAGAUGAUUCAGCAUGCUGCGACAAUGAUAGGUAGUGUUGGAUUACCACCCAUUAUAGGGGAAAUUUACUGUCAACUUCUCAGCCAUCAACCUUGUCAAUGCACAUCUGGCAUAUUUCCCAUUAGCAAUAUUAUUUUAGGCACACAUGAUGAUUAACUGUUCAUGUCUAAUCUCUUACAUUUCUCAUGGCUUACUCCUUGUUGAAACGGACUUUCUCUGUGAGCAUUUGCAGAUGGUAUAGUCAGUUGGCCUUUACAAUUGGCAGAUAAUUGUAUCCUUUAAGUUUACUCAGAAUAUUUCAUGUUUAAUGUAAGAUUGAACAAUGAAUAUUUGUUGUCUGAACUUUCUUUCCCAUGGUUGGUGCAGGAAAAUAAUCCAUGUUGCUGCAUAGAUUGCAAUGAUGUUGGGACAAAUAACAUGAAAGAGCAGAAUGUGUUUGAAACACUGAUUGGCAAACAACGACAGAUCUUGCUUGCAACACAAGUUGUGAAAAUGAUUUUGAAGAUUGAUGAUGUGAUCACUCCGUCUGACUAUCGAUUUUGGUGGCUGAGGUUGUGAGCUAGGACAUAAACUAUCAGAAUUCGCCAUUGCUAAGUGGAAGAAGAAUCAGCCAGGCAUGCGAGACAUCUCCUUGUAUCUCCUUUGUGCCUUUUUAUUGAUUUGCGAGUGUAUGAUUAUUGAUCUUGCAAUAAUUUUGUCACCGGUUUCUCUGCAGGCAUCAUUUGCAUUUUAUGGAUGCAUGUGUUUUUGGGCAAAUUGGUCAUCUGAAGUUCGGAUCACACAGAAGUUGACUAAUCGUUGCAAUUGAAAACCACUGGCAGACGGCACUCAACUUGGGUAACUAGAUUUUCUUUGCAAUGCCCGACAUUAUUGUCUUCCUUGAUUGGAAAAUUUUGAUAAGUAGAACUGUUAAUAUAUUAGACAGAGUGCAUAACUUGAGUUUAGGUAUUUUGAACUAGUAGAUCACUUAUGUCGUUAAGUUAUUAUUUCUUUAUUGUUUAGCUCUUCCUUGUCAAAAUUCAUGUGUAUUAAAUCAUGAUAGUGGCGGUAAUGUGGAUUAUGGUGAUUAUUUAUUUUAUAAGACUAGUUGGUAAUAUUGUUUUCGGCCAUGAAUGGGGUCUUUUGGACUAUGAAACCCGAGCAAAAGAACAAAGGAAAAGAUGCCUCUAUAUUGUCAUCUAGAUUAAAGAUGUUCCAUGCUUAAUUUUUUCGCGAUAAAAUUGUCGAGUCUUUGGUGUAGUGGUAAGAUUCCUUGGGAACAAAGUAUGAACAAUCCUUAGGAGUAGAAAAUUAAAGACUCAAAAGAAGAAUAUAUAGCAGCUUUUCUUUGGAAGAUGAUUAAGAAAAGAAAAAUCCCAUAAUGGAGUAUAAUGGCAUAUGGUUGAGGAUUCGUAUCAAACAGGAUCACACGAUACUUUGGGUUUUGAAUAUUGAAGACUUGGAAGAGCCUACACUCCACUGUUCUCUCCCCCGAGGAAAGUCCCUAAAACAAGUUGCCUGCACAGCCAGCAUCUUCUAAUCUUCUUUACCUCUCACAAGUCUGGAGGAUGCGUAAUGACAUGGAACAGCCAAUCGUAGCCUUCCCACCAAAAGCGUGGCUGGCACGGCAGUAUAUAAGAAAGACGGCACCACCGCUGCCUCCCAUUCUUCAUCAUGCAGGCACUGUCGGUAGGCAAUCACUUUGUCCACGUCUGAAAGCAACAUGUAACUAAGAUUGUGGAAGAAACAUGCACUGCUUGGAUAAUUCAUCUAUUAAUUUUGUUGGAUCUUAAGUGUUUUAAGUCUGAAUUAAUAAUUAGUAGAAUAAUCGAGUUCUUAUACACUAACUUAAGUUUUCUUUGACUUCUUAUAUGAGGAUUAAAUUUAGACUAUCGGUAGAUAGAACUAGGGAACACGUUAUAAUAUUGAAGCAUCGCACAUAUAUACACCAUGUUAGUACUCAAAUUUAUAAUACACUUGAUUAAUCCUACGUUGAAAAUAGAAGAGAAUUGAAUAAACUUAGAUGACCAUCAUUAAUUUUGACCUUGACAUUUUAUUCCCUCCAGAUGGAUCUUUGUUAUAAUAUGGAAGCGUCGCACACAUAUACCAUGUUAGUACUCAAAAUUCAUAAUACACUUCGAUUAAUCUUACAUCGAAAAUAGAAGAAGAAUUGAAUAGACUUAGGUGACUAUCAUUAAUUUCGACCUAGACAUUUUAUCCCCUCAAGAUGGAUCGUCGCUAUAAUAUGGAAGCAUUGCCCACAUAUACCANNNNNNNNNNNNNNNNNNNNAAAUUUAUAAUAUAUUUGAUUAAUCCUACAUCGAAAAUAGAAGAAGAAUUGAAUAGAAUUAGAUGACUAUCAUUAUUUUCGACCUAGACAUUUUAUCCCCUUAAGAUGGAUCAUCGCUAUAAUAUGGAAGCAUUGCCCACAUAUACCAUGUUAGUACUCAAAUUUAUAAUACACUUGAUUAAUUCUACAUCAAAAAUAGAAGAAGAAUUGAAUAGAAUUAGAUGACUCAUUAAUUUCGACCUAGACAUUUUAUCCCCUCGAUAUGGAUCGUCGCGAGGUUAGUUGGUAGUUGGUGUCAUAUGGCCAGCGGGAUGGUGAUAGAAUUGGUUGGGUGUGAGAUGCCAUUGAUGCCAAAAGCUCUAUUUAUGGACCUGUUGCAAACAAUAAUAUAAGAAGACUGCAUAGGACCACAGGGAAUUGGAGUCGCUUUCUCCAGUAAGUGGCUGCUUUAAAGAACUGUAAGCGUGUCAAAACGAGGCUCAACAUAUCGCAAGCAAUCAUUGAUUUAUUGCUUGUAAUGCGUAAUAAGUGAGAGUACCUUAUGCAAGUCAACCAUAUGUAGCUUGACCAGAAAGAUCUGAGGAUGGAUUGCCACCAAACUAUGGCAACUUUGGCAAGAGAAGGACUAUUUGAAUCUAUGAACCAUUGAAUUAGAAAAAAGAAGGCAAACAAUUUGGUACACUGCAAAUUAAAUUACCUAAGUACAUUUGUCAGCUUUAUACAUUUGAAGGAUCCAAAGUGCUUCACCUGUUGAGACUUCCUUGAACUGCAAGGAUGCAUCAUCUAACGAGGUUCACUGUUAUAUACACUUCAACAUGAACUAUGAACAGAUCAAGCUAUAGUCAUAUGAACAAGAGGAGAUUUUGAUUAGUGCUGGAAGCAAUUGAAUGGAACUGCAAAGAAUCAGCAGGGCGUCAGGACACGAAGCGACUGAACUAACUAAGAUUGAUGUUGACUUGCUCUGGCAUCGCUCUUUCGGUCUGCUGUGCAGGAAGUUCAGUGCCGAGCUGCCCCUUAUCACCCGCUCCGAAUGCAUACAGUUUCCCGGAAUCUGUUAGAGCAAAGGUAUGCGCGUUCCAGUAGACCGAGUUGGUGAGACUAAUCUGCACUACCCUCUCAUUGAUGUUCUUAAGUGAAGUCACUAAUUUUGGGCUGAGUACAUUGGCAUGCCUGUUACCCUGCAAACAAGACAAAGCUUGGAAUUAGCUGACAUUAUCGAAAUUGCUCGGGCAACGCUAAGACUGGAGGGGAUGCAAUCUAUUGCCAAGUUUGCAAACAGUUUAACAUCUGAAGACCCUAACAAGGUUCACUUAGAACAAGAAAAGGAUUAAAAAAAGAGGCAAAGAAGUAGCGCUGCCCUCAAAAACCUCAGGGACUAGUGGAAUGCAAUGGUGUUAGAUUUUAGUUUCAUAUACCGCGCAAUAAGAGAUCAACUAGGAAAACAUGACAAACCUGUCCAUCAAUGACGGAGGAAUGACCCAAACUUGAGGAUUCUCCAUAACCAAAUGAGUAAACAUCCCCAGUAUCAGAAACAACGAAUGUAGUGUAGUCGCCCGUUGCGACAUGUACAGCCUUUAUGUUGUCCAAGGAUUCCACGACCUUGGGAACAGAUUCAGACUCCUCAUUCCCAUGGCCCAAGCACCCAUAGCGCCCCCAUCCCCAUGUACAUGUCCGCCCAUCUUGUCCCACGACGGCAGCAUGCCAGGCACCAGCUGCAACCACCCUAGGCUGCAGGUUUAAAGUCUGGAAGUGCUCGAUCAACCUUGGAUACUUCUCAUCAGUCAUGGAACCAUGCCCAAGUUUCCCUCCUAAGCCACAGCCCACAGAGUAGACCGACCUGCAUUACAAUGAAAUUAUAAACAUUAGGAUAUAAUUAAACAUUCGAAUUCACUGUAAGUAUGCUGUUGAAUCCCCUAGCAAAACCAGUGGAGUAUAACAGCAAUGAAAAAGCUAAUGCAAUCCCUACAAAUAACAAGUAAUGCAAUUGUGGAAACUAUGUGUUCUUGAAGAACAUUUCAAAAGAUGUCAUCAUAGCAGAAUUCUCUUGAUGUUGUCUGAGCACCACAUAAAGUUUGCAUAUACAUAUGUGUGUGUGUGUGUAUGUGUUGCAAACUACUCAGGCAAUCUCAUAUCCAGCAAGAAAGAAAUAAGGACUAUAGCUGAUCUUUUAAAGUAUCAAGAGAUUAAGAGUGGAAGAAAGCUUACAUGCCGCUUGGUUGACAUGCCAGUGCUAGAAGGUAACAGUAGCCAGCGGCAAUCUGAACCACUGGUAUGUUCUCAAGAGGACCCAAUAGCGGAUGUGGUUCCAAGUCACUUGGUUCUGUGCGAUGACCGAGCUUUGAUUCAUUUCCCCAACAGAAAGUGUAGACUCUGCCUUCUCGAGAAAGAACUGCACUGAAGAAAUUUCCUAUUGCUGCCUGAACCACAUAUAUGUCUUUCAAUGAUUUCACCAGUCGCGGUGUAGUGACAACCUUGGACCCUUCAAUUGUGUGUUCUGCCUCACCAAAUGAUUCCUUCCCGAAAGCAUAAACCUGUCCAGCAUCACUGAUCAGCAUUGUUCGCCCUGCUCCGGCGGCUGCUUGUAUAAUCCGAAUGCCUUGCAGCGAUCUGUCAAGCACCAAACCUUUCUUGUUCAUGGUACGUGUUAAUGUGCACCUGAGUGUAUGAAGCAACUGAAAAUUUUAAAGCACCUUAUAAGUCGUGGCCUCCAUUCCUCCUCCAAGGUGCCAUGGCCGAGCUGUCCUGAGCUGUUGGAUCCAAAGGAAUAUACAGAUCCAGAUGAAGUCACGGCAAUGCUGUGACUAGGACCCGCAAUUGCCUGAGACUUUUCUCUCCGGCAACAUAUCUCACCUGCCAAUAUAUACCUAAGAACUAAUUUCCAAGAUCCCCCACAGCGUUGUUUAAGAAGUUCUUUUUCUUCUGAAUUCAUUGGCUUGAAGAUGGCCCUUUCCUGGCACAUGUCUAAUGCUGCGAGCUCUGUGAUAGAUAACUGGACCUCAGGAGCAAAAUUUGAAGGCUUUCUGAAAAAUGUACAUGUUGCCUGCCAUGAAUAUCGAAAUCUAUCAGCAACAUUACAGAUCCUUUCAACAAGAGAAACAUAACAAUGAUACUUGCCUCCAGAUUAGCAAGAUCCCGGGGUUCCAAAUCGCAAUUGGUUAGAAUAAUGAGAACGAUAGAGGGGGUUUCAGCCAAGGGGAAUUCCCCUGGGUUCGAGUCACCAAAGCAAUGCCUCUGCACACGUUUGAAGGUUCGCUGCAAUGGGGGCACCAAAGAAAGGGAUGGAUCUACAAUGGUCUGAAACGGUAGGGAAGAACUGCUACCACUAGUGGUGGGAUCCAUCGGGCAAGUGCCCAAGGAUCAAGCAGUAGAGUGAAUCCAAUCCAAGGCUAUAUCCUCGUUCAACUAACUCCAAAGCAGCAGUCUAUAAGAUUGACAAAACCCCGAUUGUCAGCAAAGCAACACUCAGAACUAAUGGCUGCAGUAUUUCUGAGAGAUCAUAUCAACUCCACAGUUCUCGAUCUUCAAACCUCUAUGCUUUGAACAUACAAAGGGUCCGGGAGCAUACUGUAAGUCAUGAAAUAAAACUGCAAAAGCUUCUGUAAAGUUCACAUAAAAUUUCAGAUAACAUACCCAUAAAUCCAUAAUAAGAAAAAGAAGGCACCAAACAAGUAAAACACAAUUGCAAAUUGCAAAUGGAGGCACAGACCAAGAAUGAACAUGGCCAUACUCGCUAAAACCAUUAGCGAGAGAAGUAAUGAGAAAUUCCAGACUAACAACUGGACUAAAGAAGCUGAAAUAACAAGCUUAAAGUAAAAGAGAGUAAAAAGCCAAGUAGAACAAGGAAAGGAAAUGAUGUGUAAGCAGUACCACCUCCCAAAGAAAGCAUAUUCCCAACGAUCAAAGAUCGUCUACAAAGAAAAGCAUUUCACCUCCAAAAGGAUACUUUUCUUAAAAACAUCCAUAGCUGUCCAUCGACUCAACAAUUAGUCAAGCACUAGGAACAAGAAUCUAAAACCAAAUCAACUCGAGAAAAAGAAAGCAGAAAAUACAAAGAAGUCGGGAAUAGAAUUCCCAAAGCACAUAAUUAUUAACACCACUUCAACUCCAAAAGAUCAUAUCUCGAAAGCAAGAUCCGUUCUCUUAGACAACUUACCCAUACGAACAACACAAUCGAACACCGAUGAACACAGAACACCACAUCCUUCGUUCAACCAAAAAAAGCAAUUGCAUCUUGGAGUCGGUUCGUCAUCAAAACCACGGAUCGAAAACAUCCUUCACAAAGAAAAGAGACCAAAUUCCACGGGAAGAGACAGAUGGAGAGGCCCAGGCAGAGAAACAGAGGCAGGAGAAAAGAUCGGAUUUUUACGGUCUAGAUCAAAUCAGAUGGAGCAAGGCAACGACGGGGAACGCGCAGCACACAUCAAAGGCAGCAGAACAUCCACUGAUUCCCCCUGAAGUCUAGGAUGCGGCCGACUGACCCACAGUAGGGCGAUUGCUUCGUGUGCUCCUCCCUGUUCCUCUCCCCGAUCGAAGAUCAGAGUCCGAUUCGGAAAAUGGAAGCGAUCGGAGCACUUGUGUUCUUUGAAUCGGGAUCAAAUAUAGAUUAAGACCGCAGGGAAUCGAGGGGAAGAAUGGGAUGAGAUGAGGAAGAAGUGGGAAGAAAGGGGGGAACGAGAGGACCGAGAUGGGAAUGAGGUGGAGGACAAUUGCUGAGUUUUAUACGCAUGCCGCGACAGCCACGUCAGCGUUCGUAAUGAAGCUAAUGGAUCCAACGUCGGUUGACGGUUUCGGAUGAGGGUUUGGUUAUUAGUGAUCGGAAUCGGGUCGAACUGAGAUGAUCGGAAAAAUAAAAAUAAAAAUUAGAUUUUUGAUCGAAUCGAUUUAAUUAUUGAAUGAGUUAUGUUAAGAAUAAAAUGAAUCGGUCGACUCGACCGAUUUUUUUUUAUAGCCACGUAAGAAUCGAUUGAGAUAAAUAAAACUAAUUUGAUUUUGUAAAUAUAUUAGUAUUACUUAGAUUCCAUUAAUUUAAUUGUUUUAAUUUAUUUAAAAAUAUUUAUAUCAAUUUUGAAAUUAGGAUUAAUAUAAGAAAGUAAUAUCUCCCAUGCAAUCAAUUCUCUCUCUCAUUCUCCCUCCAUUCCUCAUUCUCCCUCCAUUCCUCAUCUCAUAUAGCAUAUAUUUUUUUAAUAAACUAAUAUCAAUUAUUUAUUCAAAAGGAUAUUUAUGUUAAUUUUAAAAUUAUGUUUAACUUAAGAUAGAAAAUGACCUCUUUGGUGCAUUUCUUCCUCCUAUCGUCUUUCUCUUUCUAAUAUUAUGAUUUUAUCAUUUGUAAGAUAGAGAGUGAAUUUGAUGUUUAUAAGACCUUAUGCUCACGAGAAAUUAUCUAUUUUGAGUGGAUCCAAAUAUUUUUUUUUUUGGUCAAGGGUGACUUUGGUACUUAUAGAAAUUAUAUCUUGAGUGUACUUACGAUAAAUUAUCUAUUUUAGAUGAACCUUACAUGAUUUACCAAAAGGGUCUCUUAGGAUAGAAUAUGACUAUAAACCUUACAUGAUUUGCCAAAAAGAUCUCUUAGGAUAGAAUAUGACUCUGAUGCUCAUAAGACCUUGCUCCUGAAAAAUCAUCUAUUUUGGAUAAGUCCUAAAAAGAACUUAUAAGAGUUAAGGUGAACUUAUAAGGGGUAAGGGUGACUUUAUUGUCUCAUGAAAACUAUUUACAUCGGGUGAGCCUCUCAUGGUUUUGCUGCUCCUCCUUUCGGGUGAGAUUUUGUGUUGUCUUCCCCAACACGAACACAUGAGGAAUUGUCUUCUUUCGAUAGAUCUUAUAUUGUUUUAUUUUGUUUAUAAUGUAUCCCAAAAAAGUGUAUUUUAAGGUUAGAUCAUGACUUUGACAUCUGUAAGAUCUAGAUUCAGUCGUAAACUGGGGUGAGGGAUGAAAAAGGUUUUGAACUCAUGCCAACAGAGAGUACUCGGGCCUUUGCUCAGUGAGGAACUCCUUGCCAUACGGACAAUGCAAGGUCUAAUAACGGGAUGAACUACUUCAUGUCAAGAUCGAACUCCUUGCUUUGACUACAGAGGCCAGUGACAAGUAGAGAACUUCUAAUAGUCGAACAUCAUCACACAGUAACAAAAUUUCUUAUCUUAUCACAGGUAAUGAGAUGCCAUUCAACAACGAUAAGUUCAAAGAGUUCUACGCUAACUAUCAGACUGAAGUAACAAAUCCUCAAGCUGUCCAAUUCUUCAAAUCCGAUCUUCGAAUCAGAAUAAGAAAAAGCACAUCAUCCUCUUGUGGUUCUUGUUUGCCCAAAGAGACCACCACUGAAAGAACUGCAGAACAACUGGUCGAGGAUCUUUGAUUACCAAAACAAGCAGCCUCAUGAGUAAAUACCAGCAGUUGCAGUAGCAAAAUCAUUCAAGAAAAUCCAAGGAGCUCUACAAGUAUCUAACAAUAAGAACUCUGGAAGUCAGAGGGCAGCCUAAAUCAUAUCAAACACGAGACUAGCUAGAGAUGCAAUGUCUGAAGCUGAUCUAAUGGCAAGAAUGCUACUGCAGGAUUAGCCAACGAACCUCAAGGCAAGAAUCAACUUGACCCAUUAAGUGGUGGUUUGUAUGAAAGUCUCACGGUAGAAUAAAUUACAGAUGGUUCAGCCAUUGCACCGUUUCCAUAAUCUCCGCAUGCCAACCUCUUGGUGACGGGAGGGAUGAGAUUAACACCAAGCUCGUUGAUUGCAUCUAGAUGGCGCUUUGUAAAGGGAUUAUUCCACAUGAAGGUGUUCAUAGCAGGAGCAACAAAUAUAGGCUUGCUGUAGUCCCAGGCUCGCACAAUACACGUCAGUAGGUUGUCACACAAUCCUCCUGCAAUCUAUACAACGAAGAGCAAAAACUUUAAGAAAAAGGUGAAAAAAAUAUAUAUUUGGCACACAAACUAUGUAGUCAAGUAAUCUUUGUACCUUCGCAAGAGUAUUUGCUGACAGUGGGGCAAUAACCAUGAUAUCAGCCCAUUUCCGAAGCUCAAUGUGCAAUACUCCAUCCCCAAUCUUCUUCCAACUAGACCAUUCAUCAUCGUCUGUAUAAAGGAUCACAUCCCUGGGGAAUGAUGCUUUAUCGAGAAAAUGCAAGGAUGAUUUGGUAGCAACUGCCCUAACUUCUGCCCACUCCAGAAAACUACGGCAUAAAAUCUCAAAUUUAAUAGCAGCAACACUUCCAGACACAGCCAAGAGGAUCCUUGGUUUAACAGGCUGAAUAUUGUCAUGCUUCAUAUUUUCUGAUGCUAUUUCGAUAUUAGCCAUCAUGCAUUCAACGCACUAGGAAAAAUUUCCUUCCACUGCAUAAAAAAUGAUGGUCAUCUUUUACAGAUUUCCACCAGGCAUUAUCAAAGGGCAAGGAAAUCCUAAGCAAGCAUCAUCUUUAAAAGAAAUCCAUAUAUAAAGUGAACCUUUUGUACUAGUACAGCUUCCCAAGAACAUGGUCAAAACAACUCCAACCAUGAGAAGACCAUCGCAUCCAAGCAGAAUGAUUCAAUAAACUGGAAGCUGGAAACAUUAACAUAACGUUAGUCCUUUGUACAGAAAAGCGAUUAUCAAAGAAGACAUAAAUUGCACGAAACUGACCGACCAACUAUAGCUAUGAGAAAUUAUUGAUGUUCGGGUAGGCUGAUACAAAUGCUUAUCUUUAAAAUGUGCUUUAGUUUGCUUGAAACAAUCGGUUUCAAUCUCUUAUCCAUGAGUGUGGAGAAACAGCUUAAGAUGAAGCUAUAAAUUAUAUAUUUACAUACUUAUAUGAAUGAGCAUGAAAGUCCAAUAACAACACCAACAACAAGGCUGUAAUGUCUCAACAUUUAGGGUUCUACCUAGAUCCUUUUGCCACCAUUGAGCUAUAUAAAAAAGCCAUAUCCUUAAUUAAAAUUUAAAUUUUUACUUAAUAGUUUUUAGUAAAAUGUUGUUAGGCCUGCCUCUAUCUCUCUUCUUACCAAUCAUUUCACCUCUUCUAACAACAAUAUCUAUGAGUCUUCUUAGGGCAUCUUAAACAAAUUUUCCAUGGAUUACACGUUUUUUAUGACGAAUAAGCACAAACAUAAUAAUUUAAUCUUUAAUAUUUUUAUCCUCACAAAACUAAAGAACACAAAAUUUUCAGCAACCCUAGUUUCAGAACUUCCAUCAAUCUAGUUUUGGAUCGUCCAUCCCUCUCCCCGGUGUGGUUUCUUCAUAGGCCAAUUCGCGAUCAGUGAUCCGUUACUCAGUAUUUUCCGGUUGCCGCCCAAUGUCUAAGCCCCCUUUACCGUCGCGGGCGAUUUCCAGCAACCGGAUUGGGAGAUGAAGAAGCAAUGGGAGGAGAGGUGAAGAGACAGAGAGGGGACAAGUACGAAUUAAAUAUUACGACAGCGCGCCGAAGAUCAAAAGCUAACCUCUCGCCGGUGUGCUCGCCGAAUACCACCGCUGCUUCGACGCUCACCGCAGACGAUAAGAAGGGAUCGUGAGAGAGAGAGCUUAUAUAAUGGACAGACAUGAGGGUAAUUUAGUCAUUUUACAUGUAGACGGAAAUUAAACGGCGACGAAACAGCACCAUCUCGUCCCCAAAUUCCUCCGCUAUUCACCCUCAGCCUUUGGCCACCGCCGCCGCCCCCCUCGAUCGCUUCAUCCCCGGCGGUAACCCACUCGCCACCGUGCCGCCCCCCACGUCUCCGCGGUCCAGUCCUGCUUCCAUUCUUCUACUUCGCCAAAUUGAGUGAUGGGUUUAAUCAUAUGUUAUGAUUGCAAUCCAUAGCCAGCUCAAGUCAGAUUCAAUUCAAAGAUCGAUUCGGCUCGGUUCGAGUCUGACUCACCGACGGGUCGAGUCGUGGAAUAGGAAAAGCCUUAUGGGUAAUUACGGACCGAUCAAGCCCACAUAAGCAACUAUAUUACCCGACCCAACCUGAUCGAUAACAGCAGCAGAACACCAUGGCGUCGUUUGGGUUGGGAAAGAUGAGCGACUUCCUUCUGCCGACGCUGUCGCGGAAGCGCGACGUGGACUGCAUCAUCCGCGACACCCUCGACAAGGUCCUCGUCCUCCGCUUCGGCCGCGCCGCCGACCCUCUGUGCCUCCACUUCGACGAAAUCGUACGCUGCGCCCCUCUCCUCCCAUAUCUUGUACUUCGUCUUCUCGGUGCUUGGCGAAGCCUCUGAUCUCGUGUGGCCUUCUGGCGCGCAGCUCUCCAAGACGUCUCGUGAGGUCUCUAAGUUCGCGACGAUCGCGCUGGUGGACGUCGACUCCGAGGAGAUUCAGGUCUACGUCAAGUACUUCGAUAUCACCUUGGUACCCUCCACCGUCUUCUUCUUCAAUGCUCAUCAUAUGAAGAUGGACUCCGGGUAAUUCAAUUACAUCCCUAGAUGAACAUCUUGUUUCUGUCAUCAACUCUCUUUAUGUCUUGCCCGGUUCUGCGUUUCGUAGGAAAUUUUAACCUUCCGCUUAGGUAAUUUCUUUUUGCCCUAAAUAUUUGAUUUGAUAUGUAGGUUUCUGCAAGUACGAAGGCUGUAAUUUAUUAGGGCAUGCACAAGAUGUCACCCUUUCUACGAUAUCUUAUUUAUUUUGCCCUAAAUUUUAGUGGUAAAUUUUCCUUGACAUGAAUACUUGUCACAAGGAUGUUUAGAAUUAUUAGGUGUAGUCGAUAUGUCUUAUAAAUUAGUGGCCUGUAGAUAAAAGUCCGCUAAUUUGACAUUUGACAUGUUAUUACGAUGAUUGUAGAGAAUAGCAAAUGCAAUAGUAGCAUCAUCUCCUCUGUUUCACAUCGUAGCCUGAUUGGAUAUCCUAAAAUUUCAUCCGAAGCUGAACCUUAUUAAUUAUCUAGGUAUCUGAACUGAAACCAUAUACGGGUUACCUACAUUUAUACCGAACUCAUCCCAAACCCUAUCGAAGGAAACCCUAUCUAAGGGUACCAGAACCUUGUUUUGCUCGGUUGGGUAUAUUUGGAUGCUCAAAAGAACCCAACCUACUAAGCUGAACCUAGAAGUAACAUUAGGUUAGGCUACUUGCUAAUCCAACCAGUCUGUCUACCUAUGUACCUGAACCCGACUGGAGCACAUUCAUCCUCACCUGAACCUGUUUCCUAGCUGAUUAAAGGGUAAACAAGUUCAUUAUAAGCGGAUCAAGUAGACCAAGGUGCAAAAAAAAUAAUAAUAAUAAAUAAAUACCUCUGCCAUCCCAAAUUAUGGCUCCCCUCUCUUCUCCUUUCCCGCUUUUUUACUCUCCCCUCUUCUUUUUUGUCUUUUGAGGCUGUCAGAUUGGCUGGAAUUGGUCAAAACUGGCCAACUCUGGUAGUGAUUUGUAGAUUCUAGUCAAAAUCCACUGACUUAUUACUAUAAACUGGGAAGUCAACAAAAAUUGGAGUGGCCUUUGACGAUAAUGAUAUGGAUUCUAUUCCUUUUUAUAGUGAUUUAGUUCUAUUCUUUAAUGACUAUUUUCACCUUAAAUGUAACUUGAUUAGUGAAUUUUUCGGCCAUGUGUCUCUUGGUAAACUGUAUUUUUUAUUGUAUUCAGGACUGCUGAUCAUACUAAGUGGGUUGGAUCUUUUCAUAGCAAACAAGACUUAAUCGAUGUUGUUGAGGUGAGUGCCAUGCUCCUCACUUGGAAGGUCCUUUUUCUGAAUUAAAUAUAUUAUAUUCAGUUUCAUCUACUGAAUUCAUUAAGCUUAAGAUGAUGCUACAUGAUAGGUUAGUCUUAAUAUCAGUAGAACAAAAGCUAGAAGAUUUUUUUUUUUCAUUUCAUAAUUUGAGAAUACAGUUACGUAGUUUGAUUUUGGACGUCCGAGAUACUUAUUCUUUCUUGGAUUGUAUGGGAAAAAAAAAAUGGAACUGAAUGACUUCUGUAGCAAAGUUUGUAGAACUUAGAUAAUUUUUUGUGUCUGUAAGAAAUGAAGAUGUCCUUUUUGAUGAAUAAGUAGGAAUUAUCCCUUGUCACUGAGACUUUAUCAUCAGAUCUUCCUAAUCUAGUUAGCUGGCUUCCAAAUGCAAUUAUCUUCAUCCAUGAUUACCAGUAUAGUUGGUCUGUUAUAUUGGUUUUUCUCUUCUGGUAAUAUUUUUCGCAAGAGAUUAAACCUGUCAUCAAGGCUCAUAUGAUCAAGAAUGGGAUUGGGAUUAGCUAACUGCAUUAUGAUUGAGAUUCAUUACAUCUGAUCAGUUGGAGCAGGAUAAAUUGAGAGAAUAAUUUAAACAUGAAAAGUGUAGAAAUUAUAAAAAUAACAAAGUCUGGAAAACAAAAUAUAAAAAAAUGAUAGUUUUUCGAAAGAGUAAAACAAUAUGUUUUAUGUAAAGCCACAGUUGUCAGUUUCUAAUUUCUUUGACUUGGCCAUAUCUUCUUAAUUUAAUAUGAAUAGCUGCACAUUGUAUUCCUGAACUUCUUAUGUAUGAAAAUGUGAAAAUAUCUGUCUAUGUACCAGCUUAUGCAAUCUGGGGGUGAUUCCAUGGGAUGGGCUGCAUAUCAUACAUAGAUGAUUGAACCUUAGAAGUUUACCUUAUGGAUAUGCAUAUGAUACCUUAGAAAUGAUGGGGGAUAAUAUAUCUGAACUGGAUGUCUUCAUUUUAGAAUAAGACUGCUAUCUGCUGAUGUCGCCACCCUCAUCUACCAACACAGUUGACUGUUACCUGAGUACGGAGGAUGACCUUUAGAAUUGCUCUAGGCAUAACCUUUUUUUACAUGAUAUAUAAUUCACCAUCUAACUCAUACAUUAACAUUCUGACUAUCUUUCAAAACACAACAACAGAAAGUUCUAAUAUUUUGAUCAACAUAAACCAACUACUAAGUGCUCAAGAAUUUAGUGGCGAUGUGUAUCUCAUCGUUCAACCAACAUUUCUGGACAGUGGAGGGACCAUCUGUUUUUGGGGUAUAUUCUGUAUAUUUAACUCCCAACUGAUUUGAUGAAAUCGUAUUUGAACUUGCUUUUGGUCUGGUUGAAAAUUUGCAGAACUUUGUAGAACUUUGUGUUUUUUUUUUCAAAGAAAGGCAAAUUAGAGAAACUUAGAAAACAAACUUAUAAAAUAUCCGGAGUUUCUCUAGUCCAAAAAAAUAGCAGAUACAUUCUGUCUAGCAUAAUUAGCAAGAUUGUGAGCCUUGUUAAGGUCUCUUGGGAUGUAACUCCAGUUGGAAACCUUCACUGUCUUAGCUAGAUGGAGGAUGUCUUUGCAUAGAAACCUUCACUGAUCUCACCCAGAUUUGAGUAAAUCCAAGUUGUAGUGCACAUUGAAGCCCCACUUAACUGCCAAUCAUUCUGCUUGGAAAGCAUCAGAAAGUCAUCUAUGGUUGCACCUCCUGCAACAAUAAUACCCUCAAGUCACUAAAAACAAAAUGUGUGUGUAGAACUUUGUUAUUUGAAUAGUUUCUGCCGAUUUCUAUAGCCAAAGUCUAGCUCUAGUUAAGAAUAUUAUUCAAUAUUCAGUAGCAUGCUGUAACAUCCGACUAAAAAGGACCCAAGCUUCCAUCUACCUUAAAUUUCUUCCCUUUUCAUGUUUCCUUUUUCUUUCUUUGUUCACUUUUACAAGUUCUCGAGGCUGUUUGCUUUACCUUUCGGCAUGCUGUUCUCAUCUGGUAAGUUUAUCCUCUUCAAAAGUUUCUUUUCCCUACCCGAAAAAGAAAUAUCUCUCUCCAAGUAGCCAUCCUACCCAGAAUGAAACUUGCAGUUAGAAAUUUUACUUGUUGAGUCAUCAAUAGUUCCUUCUUCUCACUAAUGUUUGUUAUCUAGCAGCAGUCUAUAAUGUAAUAUUAUUAUGAUGCCUCUUUAUAAUAAAUAGAUUCUCCCAAAAGAAGCCAUAUAACCUUUAUAUUUUGUUGCCUCUCGUAGGCUAUAUUUAGAGGGGCGAUGAAAGGCAAGCUGAUCGUUAGCUGUCCACUUCCACCAGAGAGGAUACCCAGAUUUCAGCUGCUCUUCAAGGACGUGUAGGGAUGAGCUGGAAGGUGGACGUGAUAGUGUGUCGAAGGGGAUGACAUAAUGACUCUUGGUAUUCAUCCUCUUAACGGUUCUUUUAGUAGCUUCUAAUCAAGUGUCAAAUGCACAUGAAUCAUUGUGUCAAAUGACAUGUUCAAGCAUUCUAAAAUCCCUUGGAUCGAUCAUUUUCCUGUAAGCUGUGUACAUAUAUUAUUUUGCUUCAUUGCAUACAAAUACGAGCAUUAUUUGCUUCAUUCAGUGUUAGAUACAAAUUUGGAAAAACAUUACUUGAAAUACAAAUUUGCUUUGUUAUGGAAAUAUAGUUAUUUGCUAUCUCCAUGCACCAAUUUUACUCUAUGGAUUCUUAAUCUAAUGAUUUAAGCUUGUUCGACUUAGUGGAGUCUGAUCUCCCCCCAUCUCAUCUUCUAACCUUCUCACUGUCCUUCAUUCCUUACAGAUGAAACCAGUAAACAAUUUUUUCUCCCACUCCUCAUCACAUGCAUGUAAUACGAUUAAAGCAAGCCAUCUAAGUUUUCUUCCUCUCUUCUUUUUUUUUUGGUCUGGGUAACAAGUAAUACGAUUAAAGCAAUGAUAAUAACCAAAUGCAGAUAGAAGCAUGCUACAGUAUCCAGGACUCAAUUAUCAAAAGAAAACGUGAUUUGUCAUCAAGAAGAACUUGCAAGUUGCAAGACACUGUCAAGUCCCUUGACUUCAACCAACACAAGCACAAUCUAAUUCAAACGCCAUGUGAGGAACUCGGAAGACAACCAAUUUUGUCUUUGGCUUACCCUUGGCCAAUGAGAACACUGCUUUUAAUCAAAAGCCUCUUGAAUAGAGCGUUGAAACAACAGUUUUCUUCCACCCAAGCCUCCAAAUUAGACUGCAUAAAGAGCGCAGUCCGAACAAACGCAUUUCUUGAGGCCAACUGUGGUGGAUGAUGCUGCAAGUAAUAAGCCCACUAGCUUUCAUUUCCAGUCUGGUCUUCACACGCACCUGCAUUAAAAGGCAUCAAUAGAAGCUUGGAAUACAACCAUUCUUCCCCAGAAGGGCGAGAAAUACUGGCCAACUACACCAGUAAAGGUUGUCCAUGAAAAGCAUCUUAAAUGAAGGCACUAGUCAUAAGAAAAAACCAGAUGUAUUAAGCAUUUUUAUGUGAAAACAACUGCUAAAAUUUACGAUACUAAAUAAUUAAAACACUAAAUAACAUUUGUGAGCAGCUUCCUCUGAAUCUACUUAUGAGAUGGAACAGAAUAGUAAGCGGUAGCUGUUAGUCAACGACAGACAUAUUAAGAAUUGAAAGUUCUCGCUAUGCAAAUCCAAAAAUAGUUUCUAAUAUUUUGCAUGAUAACCCAUUAAAAGUGACCACCGGGAAGCCGUGGGAAGCAACUUACUUGAUUGCUUCGUGACAAACACAAUCACUGCUAGAUCAUGAAUCCAUGAAUCUUCAUGAGAUGUCAAAGAACAGAAGCAAUAAACGCAUCAAACAUCAUGAGGAAGCAAAUGAAACCAUGAAACUCACAUUCCAUACAAUUAUGUUAAUUUCCUGAAAUGUAAUAGAUGAUGUGGAUGCACUAAAAUGAGAGAUAAGCAUCAAAAGUUGCAAGGAUAUUCUUGUUUGAAAAAUGAGAAUAAGAAGCCUGCAUUUUCUUGAAAAAAGUAAUCGGUGAUCCCUUAAAAUGCUAUAGUUCUCAUCACCUGGAGCAAUUAAAUCUCUUGAGAGAAUCUACAUGAACUCUUCUGAUAAUAACAAUGCUAUUAAGCUUCUGCUCCAAACAUCUAGUACGUAAGUUACGGAUAAUCUAAAGCUAUAUUUAGAUAAAACCUACACAAGUAGGUUGGAUAAUUACACUGUAUAUAGGAAAAUAUUAACAGAAUUAGCUUUGAAGAUUUUGUUUCAUGCAUGACUUAAUAAGCUCCCAACAACACAACUAUGAAGUUAUCCACCAACUAUGAAAUAUGCAAUCAAAUAGAUAGAAAAUUAGUUCAGAAAGGUUUUACUCUUAGGCAUCCAAUUUACAAUGUAUGAGAUUAAUAAGCUACACAAAACCUAAAGUCAUCCAUCAAAAAUUCUAUUUUCUUCCACAGAAUAAAUGGUUCAAAUCCUGAUAAAUGGUGGUUCAGCAUAAAUGAAAGCUAAUAUGAGUGGAGACCAUUUAAAAGGUAAACAUAUAUGGCAGUAAUACAAAAUUCAAUCUGAGAACGGUGUUGUUUUAUUUUUUUUCCAAGUACCAAGAUCAAACAGAACUACUACAUCUGAAAAUAAUCUUUUGGGUGAACAGAUUAAGCCUGUAUUCAAAUGGUUUAACUACUGCGAUCAGUAUGUCACAACACUACAAAACAGAUCAAGAAUGGGUUCAAUUGAAGAUGUAAAAGGACAACAAUUGGAAAGGCGAAAGCUUUAUACCCUAGAUCUUGAUGAUCUUGGCAGCUUUGACCACAGGAUUAGCCUUAGCAAUCUCCUCCCUCCCCAACGCCUUGUAAUCGAAUGAGCAAUCAUGAGUGUCGGAAUACCGGUGGCGACCGCAGAAGAGAUCCCCGCAUCGGCACCGGAAUCCGGUCAGCCCCACCUUUCUCCCGCAAGUGGAGCACCCGUUGAUGAAUUUUACCUGCGGUUUGGAUUCCUCCUCAGGCUUCGACUCCUUGUCGGUCUUGGGCGUGGUAGAUGCCGCGACGGCGGUCUCCGUAGCCGUAGUCUCCGCUCUCGGGUUCGGUGAUUGCUCGCAAGGUUUCAAGAACAGAGACGGGGGUAACGGGGACGAUGAUGGAGGAGCGGGAGUCGACGGGGAAGGGGAGGAAGGUUUGAGGAUUUCGGCUUCGUCUUUGUCAAGAUUACAACUUUCUCGAGCCAUUUGAUGCACUGGAACAGAUGCGAACACAAGCAGAUCGAGGAUAUUGGAGCCGAACAGGAUUAAGAACUAAGAAUAAGUUUCAAGGAUCGAUAAAAGAGGGAUAUCUGAAGUCUCCAAUCGACGUGAUGGGUGAAAAAAAGAGGUUUUCAGGACGGAUUCAUAAGAAAUCAAAUAAAAUUCGAUCUCAACCCUCAAAAAGGGACGAAUUUUCCAACAAAAAAAGCGCAAAAAAUCAGUAGUCAGGAGGGACUAAAUCUGCAGCGGAUCGAUCAGGAUGUAAGCUUCGUUGAACGCGAAAUCGAAUCGGAGACAGGAUGAGGCUGUCAGAGAUUUUUCCCCAUGCUUCCUAGGAAUCAAGUUCGAAGGGCAGCAACAACCGAGAAGAUGAUCAGAAAGAGGGGAACCCUGAUCGAUCCGAUCGAGGAAGUGGCGAAACAAUCGGUGGAAACAGGGGAAGAUGAAGGAAAAGUAAAGGUGGGAACUUCGGAGGCGGUGGAGGAAAAGGACGAAUAAAUGGGAAUACAUCCGUCGCAAUACAAAUGAUAAGGCGAUUAAAAUAAAGCAAAAUGGUCGAAAUAAUCUUCGUGUCCAAGCGAAAUUCCACGCUGUAAUAUUCUUUUCUUUUCCGCAACACAUUUCAGUCAACUUAAAUUAGAUUAAAAAUAUUUAUUAAUUAAUUUUUGAAAAAGACUUUCCCAAUAUCCCGAUUCAACUCAGAACGGAUCGAGUCUCAGCGACCGCCUGAUUCAACUCAGAUCGGGUCGAGUCUGAGUCGAGCUGAUUUGUCCUCUGGUCCGAUUGAACCACAUGGCUCAACCUUCAACCCAAACCACCACCCCAACCCAACCCCACGCGCACCCGUGCUCUAAACGCAGCCUCUCUUUCUCCCCAUCGACUGCGGCAGUGCGGCUUAGCCUCGGUGCACGGUGACUGAUUUCGUCUCCAUCGGCGAACGGCGGCAGCUUCUUCCCCUCCCGUUAUCUCUCCCUCUCCUUCUCGUCCUCCUCCUUCGCCGUCGCACACUCCCUUCUCCGCCCUCCUUCCUCUUCCCCUCCGUCGUCACAGCUCCGUCUCGACCGGAAUCCGGUCAGCCCAGCGCCUUUGACGACACUGGGCAGGAGGGGAAUCCUUCCAUUUCUCCGUGCCGUAACAUUCGUGCUUGAUGCUUAUCCCUUGAUCAACAGUAGAAGACUCGAGAAUCUGUCAUCGUCGGGCCUUCGAGGAUUAAAAGAAAAUCCCAUCGAUCGCAAAGACGAAGCGCGAGGACUGUUUUGGCCAUGGAAGAGGGAGCGAAGGGCGGUAGCGAAAGCUCAGGGCUCGAAACCCUAGUCCUUGAGAAGGUUGGGGAGGUCUCAUCCGCGAUCGAUGCCGCGAAGCACGUCGACGAAGUGAUCUGCGCCCUCUACUCCCUUGCUGUCCGCAUAUUUCCCGUCGACUACUCUGCCCUUUGCGGUUCGAUUUCGGAUCCUUCACGUCUCUUUCUCUUGGAAUGGGUCUUUUUGUCGUACUUUUUCUGUCGUAGUGUCACUUAUUUGUUGAAUGAUAGAUGGAUUUGCACUGAAAAGGAAAAAAAAACUUAGGAGCUUAUGAUUGGGGGAGGCAUCUGAAUUUUUUGACGUGUCUGAAAAUUUAUUUAUUUUCUUAAAACAAAACGGCUCAUUGCAAUAUUUGGUUACUUUGCAGAUACCAUCGAUCCUGCUCAGAGAAGCAAGGUACUACUCUGGUCCACAAUGCUACUUGGUUUGAUAUCUCACACAGAGGAGGUUCUUAACGUUUUGUGUUAUCUAUUUAUGCAACUACAAUAGUGUCCACAAGAAAAUUCUGAACUUGAUGUGAAAAAUAAAUAAUGUAAAGAUGGUUGUAAUUCUAAUUAAAGGUGAGAUAAUGCCUGGAAUCGAAAACAUAGAUGCAGAGAAGAAGAAUUCAUUGAUAAGAAAAAGGUGCUAGGGUGAACAUCCAGCUAAAGAUUGAAAACUAAAAGAGUGGCUCAGUGCCCAAGGCCUUGUGCACUGGUGUACACCUGUGGAUUUUCAAUUUAAGGGGUGUUUCUUCUCAGGGACUUUCGAGUUAAAUUUUAUUUUGAACAAGAACUUAUGCUAUAUACAAUCCCUGACAUUCAAUUCCAACAAUUAUCUAUAUUUAGUUUAGUAGCAGUUGUAUAAGGUCCCCUAAAAUCAUGUUUGUUUGCUAUGCACUUAUAUACUUACAAACAUGUAGUUGUCAUCAUUUAUGAAUAAAUUCUCUCUUCCUGGAACUUGCGAUGGCUGGAAUGAAUGAUCCAUUUUGCAUAUCUUGAAACCUGUUCAAAGAUCCUGUACACCCCGUUGUAGUAAACUAGCAUGUCCUCAACAUAGAGUUGAACUCAGAUUAUGAAUCUUCUUUUACUUGCAUUCAAUUUAGUAAAGUUGCUUACUUGCAUGAAUAUGUAGUUUGGGACACUCUUCAUGGCUUAAUUUUUGGGUGUAUUGCUUUAGAUAUCACUACAUCCUUUGAAUGUUAGAAGUGUUCUUUGCCUGAUUAUUGGUUGAAGCAUUAACCAUCCUUUGUUUUCUUACUUUUACACAAAUCUUUUGAUUACAGAUGAUUCUUUUUUUGUCUAUCAUCCAUAUUUAUUAUUUUGAAAGGAUUAUAUGAAUAAACAUACUAUGCAUGCUUUAAUCUCCAAUAUUAGACUGAGCUCACGAUUUUGAGAUUUGAUCCACUUCGAGUGUCCAUUUUUUUUGUUUUAUGUGUGGGGGUUCAGUGAUGGGUGUCACAUGGUGCUUACAGUCCACAAAUAACCCUUACCAUAAUAGUAACUUGUGGCUGACUAGAUCCAUGCCUUACCAUGUUAGCAUGAGGCAUUCUGGAAGAAGCUGCACUGUCCUUACUAAGCGUGGAGAACUGUAUCUAGUAUUUCAGCUGCUACAAAAUUUUGAAAAUCCUGAAGUUAAGUGUUAUGUUUUUGCUUCCAGUUGAGAGAAUCAGCCUAAUCUAGUUGACUUUGAUUGACAUCAAACCCUUCCUGCUAAUAAUAUGGUCAAGAAAUCGGUCAAAAUUGGAUCAACCUUGGAUGCUAUUGAUACAUAUCAGAUGUGUUGUAUCAAAAUUACCACAAACCGAGGUCUUCUUAUUUUGUUUACCACUGUUUUUCAGGUACAUGAGAUACUAUCUCCUGCCCCUGCUGAAAGCGGUGAAUGGAGGCAGGCUUUCUACUAUGGACCUGCGUUUCCAACCUUGGCUAGGAUAUUGAUCUAUAGUAAGUUUCAUUCUUUAGUUGAAACAUCUUUAUUGUGAUAAGAUAUGCUGGAUCUAAUAGAGUUUUCUCUAAGUUGACACAUAUUUCUAUAUGUAAAUAUAUGAAUUAUAUGUCAAUUUUUUCCUAUGAUACCAUAUGACUAAUGCUAUCUUCAAAUUUUCAAAUCCCAUGGUUGUCCGUAUAUACUGAUUUUUAUGGUUCUAACAUGUGUAUGUACUGAUUUAUCACUAAUCUUGUGUUCAACUUUUUCCUCUCUUUUUUUCAUUCCUUUAUCUACGAAGAAAGCAGGAAAAAAUAAACUUCUUCCGCCCCUUUUUUCCUUCAUUCUCUCCUCCUCAUUUGUUCUCAGGCUUGGCUGCACCCUUCCAGAUUGCCUCCCCUUCUCUCAUCAUUCUCAUUCCAUUCUCGGAUGGGGCUAGUUGGGUCUGGGAAUCAGCAACUUUGCUUCCUCAUCCCUUCCUCUUGCAUCCUUUUUCUCUCUUUUCAUUUUCCUUUCUAGUUUAUUAUCUGACAAUUGGAACUGUCUGAAUUGGUCAAGAUGUCCAAUUCUGUUAGAGAUCUGUUGAUGUUGAUCAAUUCUGGCUUUUGGCAUUGAAGUGGGCAAAACGAUCUAAAUCAGGUUGGCUGAUUUGGUGAGCCAUGCUUGUCUGCUAAACUGAAAAUUAAGGUGUAUAUGUGCAAACAUGAACCUUUAGAAUGAUGCAUCCAAAUACUUUUUUAAUAACUAGCAUUUGAUUUGUGAAUGUGAUAUAUUCUUUAGUAAUUAUAAUUCAUAUCUCCAUUCGGAAAAAUAGACUGCAACAAUUUUAUUGUAAGAACUUGUUCUUCAUUGAAAAGCCUGUGCGAGUGCAUGCUAUUAAAAAUGCAGAAUUAAUUUGAGCUGAUGGUAACAUUCUUUGUAAAGAAAGUAGCUUUAGAUGACUGGCACACGUUUUAGUAAAAGGUUUUCUAAGUGCUUGAUAAUUGUCAUAUCUAAUGUGCAGAUGUUGCAAAAGACUGGCUUGCAUGCUUUUCUUCAUCUACGAAGAAGCAGGUUUAUGAUUCAUUUUUCGUUCAAGGACCUCCAACUGAAAUAGUACAGGUCCUUGUUCCUGCUUUGGUGCACGGUUAUGAUGAUGCUAUCUACUCGAAUAUUGAGAGGUACUUACUGUACCAUCUGAUUGAUGCCACAAUUAAGUUGAUUUUGGUACUUUGGAGCAGUAUGAAAGUUAUUUUACAGCAGAGUUAAUUAAGAUUGUGCCUCAUUUAGCAACAAUGGUGACUGCAAUAAUAAAUCAUGUUAGUGCGUCACAACAAAUGUACUUCCUAGAUCAUAUUACUCGUCAAACCUCUUUUAACAUACCAUGAUUUUGGCCUUAUUUGACCAAAUCAUUUGAGGAAUCCUUAGCUAUUACUUAUAUUUGGUGGUAGUAUGAGAAUCCAGAUGUCAUGAAAAAUCAUUAGAAACUUUAGUUUUUAUUGGUACAUGAUAAGAUGUGUAUGUGAUCAACCAUAUAUAAUGCUCUUGUUUAUCUAGAUCUUGAUAUGCUGAUUAUACUGAUUUAAUACUGAGCAUAGUUAUCGGGAUCAGAUCGAACCAAGUGGUGGUGCUGGAAAAACCGGGAACCGGACCAUUAACCAAUCCAAUUCAAUUAUUGGAAUGGAUAUGUUCAAAAACGGGAAUGAACCGAUUAACCCGGUUGGAUUUUGGAUAACCAAUAUAAAACCGACUGACCGAGUACAUAAAACCGAUCCAAAUUACUUAAAUACCCUUAAACUUUUUUAUUAUUUAUUCGAGAGGGUAUUUGAAAUUAGGGUUAACCUUAUUUAAAUAUGACAGAUGAUACUCUCAAUCUUGAUGAGAUUUUAAUGAUAUCAAAAAGAAGAUAAGGGAGAUGAAAUUAGAGCACGCUAUAUAAGAAGAAUUUGAUUUGAGGACAAAUAAAAAUGAGGAGAACGAAAAAAAUAUUGGAACAGAUAAAAAUGAGUUCGAAAAUUUAGAUUAUAAUACAAAAAUUUACUACAUGGGUUAGAAUUAUCAUGGCAUAUUGAUGACUAAAAAGUUUCCAUCUAAUCAUGAAUUCAUGAUAAUUAUGUUGGAUAAACUAUUUCUUAUAUAUCAUUGAACAAUUGAUUUUAGAUUGGAUUAAUGUAAUCACGACCAAGAUUUUUUCAUGUGUUAUUUGAUCUGGAUAAUGUUUAUAACUUUAUAUACACAAUGUUGCUUGAUAUUAUCAUUCCACAUCUUCUAUCUAUUUUUUAAUUAGUUUUAAUAUUUUAGAUUUUUACUAUAUAUAAUUUUAAAUUGUUUAAUAUAUUUUAAAAUAUUUUUAAUUUAAACAUGUGGUUCGACCAAUUGAUCCACCGGUUCAACCAAUGACCCAGAGAACCAAGUCCUUGAGAUUCAUAGAUCAUUUGCUUCGAUAUUGGUUUAUGUUUUCACCUCAUUACUAAUCGUUCUUCUGUUGUAUUAUUCUAUUUUUCUAAAACAAGGACUAUGAUAAUAUAAUUUUAGUUAAAUACACCUUUUUGUAUUACUUAUACUUAUCACUUGCAUAAUUUCUUUAUGAGUAACAAACUAUCAAUAUUAUCAGAUAAGUUGAUAAUUUAAUCAUAGCAUAAUUUAGCUUCUUCUUCUUUUUUUAAAUCUAUCCAUUGUUUUCGCUGCAGAUGCACUAGGUGAUACUUAGACCACUUGCAUAUCAUGGUUGUUUUUGGAAGAUUUGAAUAUAACCAUUAACAGUCAACCACCGUUUGAUGAUCAGCACGUUCUAUCAUGGUUCAAAAAUUUGAUCAGUCAAUGUUUGUUAGUUGAUGUGUUUUGAUGAUCAACUUUUGCUAUUCAUCUAUUGUUUGACUUUCAAUUAUCAAAUUGUCAUUGGUGAUUGAUGAUUGCCAUUCAACAGGAUAGACUGUCCAAUGACUAUCACUUACUGAUUGGUCAUCUGCUGGCAAUCAACAAUCAUCUAUUGACAGCUUGUUGAUACUUGGUGAUCAUUAACUGAUGGUUGUUGGUAUGCUGAAGAUUAUUGACUGAAUAUAUAGUAUGUUUUUGGUCAUUUAUCAUCAUGGUCUAUUGGAUAAUUGAUGAUUAGUGAUCAUCAAUCUGACUGCUGGUUUGACUGUUAUUGGAAAUGUCUGUCAAUUUGUUAAAGAACAAAAGAUUACCGACUUGGUCUAUGCGAGCAACGGCUGUCAUAAUGAUUUCCUUCAUCACUUACACACUUUCGGAAUUUUAAGCUGUCACUUACGUGGCAAAUGUACAGGAUCAUAUAGCCAUGGCCAAUCCCUUGUCUCACCACUCCAUCUAUCCAUCUCUCAUUAUAAUUUGAUAUGAUUUCUAGUGACUAUAUCAAUAUUGGAUCUUUACUGACUGUAAAUGAUGUGUACUAACUUGUUAGUUAAAUAUAACCCAAUAUCCAGACUAACCUAACAGAUUUUGUUCUUGUGGUGUUCAUUAUAUUUCUUAUCAUUUCCUUUCUAUGUGUAAAGCAGGCAGCAUUUAUCUUUUCCUCUACUAUGUAUAUUACAGGUUACUGGUACGAUGCUUGCUUAAGAGCGAAGGGAUACGGCAUAUUGUCGGUGAAUUUAGAAUCCAAUGUAGCAGUAGCAAACAUGAUUAUGCACUUAAGCCAGAGAUGUUAGCAGUCAUGUCUAGGGUUGCACAGCUUCUCACUUCUGUUCCUGACAAAGCAAGAUUGCAAGCCUCAUCGGCACUUUCAUCGCAGUAUCCUUCUGAGAUAUUGUCUUGGUUCUAUAGAUGUAAUUUUAACGAUUCAAAGCUCAAUUUGGAUUCUGUUUGAUGAUUCUGGAGCUUCAUGUCAUGUAUCAUGAUUCCUUUUCAUGUUGAUACCAGGAGUGCGCUCAUUGUUGGUUCUUAAAAUUUUCACAUUAAGAUCAUAUGCUCAUUUAAUUUGCCCUUUUUUCUUUUUAUAAUGUUUUAUCAACAUCAUCUCCUCUCAGUAAAAUCAGUCAUAGAAAUCUCUUAUAUUUCCUAAUGUAGAUUACAUUUCAAGGAUACCUUUCAUUAUCAGCUAUUUUCUGUUUUUAUCCUUGAUUAGCUACUAGCUUGUUCUUCCAGCAAAUGGCUAGACAACUUCUGUGUGGAGCAGAAGAUUGUAACUUUGAAAUGUUGAACCCAAGAGAUGCCUCCGAUGCAAAUACUGUGGAUGGCUCAUUGUUAUUUAUCGGUGAAACAUUUUCAAGGAUUUGCAGGCGUGGCUCAACAGGUGAUAAAAAAAUAGUUUAAUGCUAAGUCUGGUCCUGCAAAUUAUUAUUGUUCCAGCAAAGCAACUUAUUGAAGUUAACUUACCUGACAGUAGAUAGGUUAAUUAUAGGCCAAGCAGAUGCUAAAAUUUUACUUUUAACAUUUAAUAUGAGCAAUUGAUAUAAAUUGAUCACAAAAACUUUACUUUUAACAGUUAGGUGUACCAUUGAUAGAAGAUAAAAUGAGGAAAAACCAUUAGAAGGAUAUAUGCAUGUUCAAUGGAGACCUAUAAAUUCCCUGGUGAGGUAAGAUGAAUUGAUCAAUAUUAGUGAUGAGGAAAAGUAGAGGACACAUAGGAAAAUUUUAUAUGAGCAGGAAAAGGAAACUUGACUGCUUUAUGUAACUAGGGAUAUUCACCUACCCAGAGCUUAAUGGGAAGAAAAAAUUCAUGCAAGCAAUCCCAAAUAAUUUGGAUCUGUGGCUUGUUGUUGUACCUUCUAGUAUACAAUUGUAAGAGAUCUUUAAUAAAAGAAUGAAAUGUAGUUAACCAUUAUGUUUUUCUUUGAAACUUUUUCAUUUUUACAUAUUGCUCCAUGAAUAUCAUUGGGCUGUUCCAUGUUGUGUUUCACAAUUAGAACAGUCUUCAUAUGUUACUGGGCUAUCAUCUUAAUUGUUGAUUUACAAGUUGGAUGGACCACUAAAUGUAAUGUAUGCCACGCAAUAUUGUCAGAUUUGGGAAUUUUAAGAUCUUGCUAGUGUCCUAUUUCUAUAUUGUUUUAGUCAUUAAGUUACUAUUUUUCAGAUAUUCUACUCAUAAAGGUGAUCCCUAGGAUUCUUGAUCACAUCCGAAGCUGCUUGUCAUCGAAUGCUGGUUCUGUUGCUUUUAAUAUGAUUGAAUCUAGUCCAAAAUCCCAUUUUUGGUUGUUCAUUAUGGAGGCAAUGAAAGAUCAAUAUGCCAUUGAAAGAUUUUCUGAGGAGCUACUACGGCAAUUAGCAACUCAGAAUGUAAGUGAUGUUGAAGCUUAUUGGACGCUUUGGUUGUUGUUUCAUCGGAUUGUCAAGCAAAAAACUAAUAUUAGGUGAGAUGGUGUCACCAUGUUAUCUAUGAUAGCAAGUUUGUUGCUAUUGUGUUGUUAAUAUUCUUCCUCCCAAUUGGUGCAUAUUCUGAAUGUGUUUUUGAUAUUAAAGAUUCAAAAUUCCCUAAAUCAAUAGCUACAGGAAAAGAACUUCAGCAAAAAAAAAAAAUGAUUUGAUAUCUACCGUCAAGCAAUAGUUUGUCAAACUCCUAUCUAUAAAUUAUAGGUUGCUCUUAAUGAGUAAGAUCAUGCAUGUGUAUAUGAAAUCUUGAAUCUAAAAUGCCUACUCUGGAUGAUAUAUCUUGCAUUAUUAGUUUUUGUUUUUCCCCACAGAAAUCAUUGCUUCUAUUCAAUGAUUAAUAUUGUCAUUGCUACGACUGGUUAAGUCAUUAUCUAACUAGUUGUGGUCUCAUGAUAAAACUCUGAUCUGAUACAGCAGAUACUGACUUUUCAUCUGGUUUCUUAAGUUUGACAUAUAAUCACAUAUAGCUUCAAUCUGGAGUUUAACUUUGACACACAUUUAUGAUGUUUGAUGCAUGAGUGUGUAAAAAUACAGUAUGCUUACCUUAACUGCACUUUUUAAUUAUGCUCAUUUCAGGUACAUCUUUGUUGACAAAUUUGUGUUUUGGAAAGUAUUUCCUAUCUGCUGCUUGAGAUGGAUUCUUCAGUUUUCGGUUUUUGAGUGCCCACCGAAUUUCGAUUCUGAGGCAAGAGCCCAGAGGACAUCAUCUUUUCUAGAUGUAUUGCAUCGAAUAAUUAGCAUUUGGUCCAGGCGUGAGUUUGUUCAAUCAUCUUCUAUGGAGCAGCAAGCUUGUAUCCUUCUGAGCAAUAGUUUCUUAGUUUAUUUUUCUUUUCCGUUACUCUUUUGUACUUCCUUAAGUGAAAAUCAGAUGUCACUUAUGCUGUUGCUUUAUGCAUUGAGAAAAUGUCUAAAGAGGAAUUAGAAACAACCAAAGAUAUAUUGCAUUCUAUUCUUCAAGGAGUCAGCUGUAAAUUCUUCUUCUAGAUUAAAUAAUUUUAUGUGAAUUUCUACCAAAGAUUCUAUAAUAUUUUUUUAUUAAACUUGGUUCUAAGAUUUGUAGGUAGACUGGAGAGCCCAAUUGAUUUAGUUCGGAAGAUGGCUAGCUCUGUUGCAUUGGUAUUUUCUAAAGUUGUUGAUCCAAAGAACCCUCUCUACCUUGAUGAUGAUUGUUCUGAAAUUAUUGACUGGGAAUUUGGGUUUAAAAGAAAGGAUGUGGUAACUACAGAUGAAACUAGAAAAGAUAAACUAAAUGGUACUCUGUCCAAGGAUAUGGAAAAAGAUAAACUAGAUGCUACUCUGUCCAAGGUUACAGAAAGUGCCUCUCAUGCUAAAAGGCUGAAAGAUACAAAGCAUCAUGCUGUAGAUGGUGGUAAAUUGAUUUCAGAAUGCAGGGUGAAUCAUUGUGCUGGCAUGCCAAACAAUGAACAUGCCUCUGCUGAAGAGGAUGAUGGUGAAGGCAAGAAUUCUGAUGCAUCUUCAAGUGACUCACUAGAACCAUAUGAUCUGUCGGACGGUGAUACAGAUAUGAAACUUUUCUCCCAGCUUGGUGAUAUUGCUGCAGCAUUACGGAAACCAGAUGAUCCAGAUGGUGUAAGUUGCUGUGCUUACUUUAUAUAGUCAUUGUCAGGUUAUCGUCUGUCAAAAAUUUUCACCUAUUUGAAAGUUUAGUGAAGCUAUUAAUGAAUGCCCCCGUUUGAACAUUCAUAAUGCCUUACUUAUAGGUGGAAAGAGCACUGGACAGUGCUGAAAAGCUUGUACGAGCAACACCUGAUGAGCUUCCCCAUUAUUCAGGUGAUCUUGUCAGAGCAUUAGUGCAUGUUCGUUGCUCUGAUGUAGCAGUUGAAGGAGAGGAAGAUUCUGCUGAAGGAAAAAGGCAAAAAGCACUGGUUGCGUUGCUUGUCACAUGCCCAUUUGAAUCAUUAGAUGUGUUAACCAGAUUACUAUAUUCACCAAAUGUGGAUGUUAGCCAACGGAUUCUGAUACUUGAUGUCAUGACUGAGGCAGCACAAGAGCUUUCAGAGAGUACGAUCAUUAGAAUGAAACAUCAGCAAAGGAAUUUAAUAUCAAACAUUUCAGGUCAACCAUGGUUUAUUCCUAGCAGUAGAGGACCACGUGGAGCUGGUCCUUGGAAAGAGGUUUCUGAUCCUGGAACUUCUAUCAGUUGGUCCCACCGUUAUGAAAGAGAAAUUCCUUCAAGAGCUGGUCAAAUAAAGUCAGGAAAAUCUCGUAAAUGGGGUCUUGUAAAAGCCAAGGAUCCAGAGUUGGAAUCAUCAAGAAACAGAUUUCCUCUUUAUGCUGCUGCAUUUAUGCUUCCUGUAAUGCAAGGAUUUGACAAAAAAAGGCAUGGAGUAGACCUACUCAACAGGGACUUUGUUGUCCUCGGAAAACUAAUCUACAUGCUUGGUGUAUGUAUGAAAUGCAGUAGUAUGCAUCCUGAAGCAUCAGCUUUGGCUCCUCCACUUCUUGAUAUGAUUAGAUUUAGGUAGUAGAAAUUUGAUUUUUUUUUUUUAUAUGUGAAUCUAAAGACUGAUGACCUCACAGGAGUGGUUUUAUUGAAUUUUCUUCAGGGAGUUAUCACAUCAUGCUGAAGCAUAUGUCAGAAGAUCUGUGCUUUUUGCUGCAUCAUGCAUACUGGUUGCUUUACAUCCAUCACAUGUUGCAUCUGCUUUAAUUGAAGGUAAUCAGGAAAUUUCCGAUGGACUCGAGUGGAUUCGGACAUGGGCACUUCAUAUUGCCGAAUCGGAUCCAGAUGCAGAAUGCUCAACGGUAUGUAUAUUAAAGCCCCAACCACAGAACAUGCUGUCUCCAUUUGUUAAUUUUAAAUAUGAAAAUUUUAACUUCGAAUUGAUUAUCUUUAUUUGAUAAUAGUACUCCAAGAAGCAAUUUAUAGUAAAGAAUAGUUGCAAUAUGAUUAUUUAAUUUCAAAGACAUUCAAAAUUGCUAAAUUUUAGAAUCCAUGUUGGUUUAGGAUUAAACAUUCCUUUUCUGAAGAUGCUGCAUGGUUUCCUGCACUAGUUUUUAAUCAUUUCUUUACAUUUAUAUCCUUUCCUUUUCAGGCCUCAACUCAUGAAAUUUUCUACUUGUACAUAUAGUUGCACCUGAAGUCAUUUAUGCACAUAAAUUCCCUCAUUCCUUUAACAUUUUUUAGUUUUGUUUAGCAUGAUCCAUGAGUCUUACAUGUGUCUUAUUGCUAAAAUGUGGAAAUUAAGAUAUGAAACUAUCACCAUUAUGCCAUAUAUCAUUCUAAAAGAAAAAUUCUUUGUUUGCACUUUGCCAAUAAAUCUAAAAAAUAUAAUAUGUGAUUUAUGGAUUCUCAUUGCAAGUUAGGAACAUAAGUAUUGGAUUUUGUUUUACAAGAAAUGAAUUUUAUUGCUAACAGGUUACAGAUUUUCAUCAACAUAUUCUUUGAUUUAUGAACUUGAAGCUUGGACUACAACACACCGUAAUGUAUUUUCUUUUCUGAGAAAUGAACUUUGUUCCAAACGUGUUGCAGAUCUUCAUCUAAAUGUUCUUAAGUAUAUUAACUUGAAUCUUGGAUUACAACACGAAGUAACAUAAGGUUACUUGUCUGCAUUAUUAAGACUAGUUAUAUAGAUAACUUGUUUAAUGAGAUAACAGUUCGACAACUCUAUCAAUGACAGAUCUGGUUAACUAGCCACACUAUCAAUGACCAAUCUCCAUAAUGUGAAAAAUAGCAACAUGAAUGCUCUUCUGAUUUCAUUGGAAAUAUGUAUUGAUAUUGAUACUUCGAAUCAAUAGCAAAUUUCAUCAACUAAAGAAGACAUUAUUAAAGUAACUCUUCCCCAUCAUCCAAAAUCCUCUGUGUGACAUUUAUGAAUGAAAAGUAUUGAAAGAAUUCUAGUUCAUACCUUGGUUACUGUUUUGCAGCAAAUCUGUCAAUAGAUUGGGGUGUCUUAUCAUAUAUUCUUCAGCUUAUUUGUUUAUUCAUUUUUUACCUGAUACAUCAUAUAUGUACUGUGACAACGAGUUAUCUUAAUAUGCAGAUGGCCAUGACAUGUCUUCAGCUUCAUGCUGAGAUGGCUCUCCAAACAUCCCGUGCACUUGAGUCGGCCAAGUCUGUCAAAGCACGAACAAAUACCCUACCUUUGAAGUUGGAUGAUAUUAUAAUACCAUUCUCGAACAUGAGAUAAGAAAUGAGAACAAUCUGUAGUUGGAUUUUGAUGUACUUAUGCCCUCUUUUUCUAUCAUUUGCUUGAUCUUCUUUAUCUUGCAGAAGCAACAAAUAACUUGCAUCAUCCUAUGAGGUACAGAUACAAUUAAAGGUUAUUUUAUGAACUACAUAUACUUGUUUAAUUUGUUAAUAUAAGUGAAACACACAAUUAGCUGUUUUUCUAACUCUUGUGUAGAAUAAUGGUGGUAUGCUUGGUAUGUAUCUGUCUGAGCUAAAACCAAUAUGGUAUUGGACUAGUUUCAACAUUAAACCAAUAUCUUUCUUUGACAUAUCUCAUCAGUAUCAGUUAAUACUGUUAAUAUCACUGUUCACUCCAAGCUACAAAAGUGCAUCUUAUGUUCAAUGCAUUCAACAUCUUUAGGGUCUAGUAGAAAACAGCUGGAUGAAGCUAGAUAUUAUAAUUUCUUUGAAUCAUGUUACCACUUAAUGAUACAUCCUAAUCAGAGCAUCAUGAAUUUUGAUUGGACUGUCAUACCAGUCCCAUAAUUUAAGGCUUUAUUAGCAGCAGGAGGUUGAUACUCAUUUUGUAAGGCUAUAUACUGAUUUCAUCAUUUUGUUUCUUUGACAGUAUCAAAUAGAUGCUGUAGCACUUAACAAGCGUAGGAUGCUGUGUCCAGUAUUGUUGUUUCUGCUAUCUAUGUUUGUAUGGUUGUUAUGGUCUCCACUUGUGUCACAUCUACAGGAAAUAGUAGCUGAACAGUAUAUAUAUAUAUAUAUAUAUAUAUAUAUAUAUAUAUAUAUAUAUAUAUAUAUAUAUAUAUGUUGAACAGUAUAUCGUUUGGUAUAUAGUAUGUAUCAAACGAAUAUCGAAAUAUCGGUAUAAUAUGAUAUUUCAAACUUUGUUCUAAACUAUUGUGUUGCCCGAUCUCUCACUGCAUUCCACCUGACAGGUUUUGGUUAUCCUAUGAGGUGUGUCCACUUGAGAUAAAUCCCUCUCUCAGGUAGAACUUUCAUGUUUGUCUAAUGAUGCAUGGUCUAGAAUUUGAGUGUUCCUAUCAUCUAUAUCAUUUUAUCUGGAUAUGAGAAGCUGUAGCACUAACCAAUAUCUGCACUACAGGAAAUAAUUAAGUUCUAUCUUCUGGAAGUCAUGUAUGCUUCGCGGUUCUCUCACGUCGACCGCUGUCUCAAAAUAAUUAAGUUCAAAUCAAUGGUUGUACAGCCAUAAAGCCUUUAUAUAACUCAAUAUGUGAAUCAAGCCUGCAUGGAUGCGUGAUGGAGGCCAUGCAAUGUUCCUAAUUUUUCGAGUACUAAACAACAUAUUCUAACCGGGCUUUUGAAAACACGUUCCUUCAUGUUUUUAUUAUUUAAUUAUUUGAAUUUAUUAUGUUUUUGGAACACAAUAAUUUCCUACCUUCUCAGUGAAGAAGAGCCAAAAGCACGUCUUCAUCCUUGUGUUCCUUUUCUUCUUUCUUCCAGAGACAUUGGCCUUUGUUCCAGAAACCUUACGUGCCAAGUCACACUUUAUCUUUCUUCUUUCCCAUCAGAUAAUAAUAAUAAUAAUAAUAAUAAUAAUAAUAAUAAUAAUAAUAAUAAUAAUAAUAAUAAUAAUCAAUAAAAUAAAUAAAUAAAUCUUGGGGCGUAACAUUCUCGAUGCCCACGUGACUCGAGCCCCCAACAAUCCAUGUCACGUGAUGGCAAGCUCCACUUGGACCCCAUGCGGCUUCCCGCCAUUGCGCGUUGAAACGUGGCACCAGGCUAUCCUACUUUCGAUGCCAUGUGGCGUUUUGACCGGCUCGUUAACGGUCCUCGGGCACAUCGAACCGUUAGGAGAGCCACGAAAAAGCGAUUUGCCAUCACCAGUAGUACCGGUUCGCCACGAUGUGGGACCGAGACUGCUCCCAAUCCAUGUCGCUGGGUAUUUGGGCGGGUGGAAUCGUUGCUCGUCGUAUAUUUCCAUCACCCACCUUGGCUUCCCCUAUAUAAGGACAAACCCCUGGCCUGUUUCUUGAACUCGAAUGCUCGUCUCGCCGUUCUCCUCGAUAGCAUUUCGACUUCGCUCUAGUUUCUGAUCGUGAUGGGUAAAACAGUCUUUCUCCCCUUCACAUCGUUCAUCUUGUUAGUCUUCUAUUUGGCUUGUGAUCUUAUUUGUUGGCUCGGAUUUGUAGGCAAGAUCAAGAUCGGGAUCAAUGGUGCGCUUCUCUUGCCCUCUUGUCUUCCUUGUAUCUCCUUAGAGGGAUGUUUCUUUGAAGUACCGGUGAUGAUUUUUAGGGUUUUUUUGGUUUGUAAAUGGAGCGAUGCUUUAUCGAUAUACGUUGAUUUGUAAUCUCGUAGGGUUCGGAAGGAUCGGGCGAUUGGUGGCGAGAGUGGCUCUCCAAAGCAGCGACGUGGAGCUCGUCGCUGUUAACGAUCCUUUCAUCACCACCGAUUACAUGGUAAGACGCUCCUCGCUUCUCUAUUCCGUUCUUACUUGAAGCCUUAAGGAUCCAUACAAGACAAGCUAUCUGCUAAUGGAUUGACUAUAUGUCCAAGAGUAAGCCUGACUUGUUUGCUCAGAUUCAGAAGAGACAUGUUCCGUGAACACUCGGAACCCUUGUGGUCACUUAUGGAGAAGAUGGAACUUCCUUUCUCAUCUAAGUGGCAAGAAGAAUCGACGACCAUGCCAUUAGUAGUUAAAAUUAUACAACUUCUCUAGUCAGAUCGAGUCACUUAUUUGGUGGUCCAUCUCUACAAGAACAUGGCCUCCGGUGUUGAGAUUGCCUAUUUGUUAUUCCUGACUUCACUGAUGCAGUUUAUGAUCUUUGUGUGCGCAUAAAUUCACACGUUCAGAAAAGAAAAUCCUAUCAAAUGUUCCCUCAUAUUGUUCCUCCGGUUGCAAUUUGCUGAAUACUUGGUUUGCUCAAACUUAUCGCUAGAUCUUGUGUUUUAUAGCAUCUUCCGGUUGGAUUGAGUUGCUCACUGUUUAUGACUUCGCAGACGUACAUGUUUAAGUAUGACACCGUGCAUGGUCAAUGGAAACACCACGAUGUGAAGGUUAAGGAUUCCAAGACACUUCUCUUUGGUGAAAAGGAAGUCACUGUUUUUGGACUUCGGUAGGUUGGAUUUCAGUCUUCUUUUUCCUGAUAGUGAUCAAACUCAAUACUUCAUAUCGUUUGGAGGAUACUUGAACUUACUAGAAUUGGUUCCUCAAGGAACCCUGAGGAGAUCCCAUGGGGUGAGACUGGUGCUGAGUAUGUUGUUGAGUCAACUGGAGUUUUCACUGACAAGGACAAGGCUGCUGCACAUUUGAAGGUCAUCUCUAUUAGAAUGUUUUUUCUGAUGAUAUUCUCUCAGUUGGUUUUGCUAUCAUACUGAUGGAAGUUUACACUGAUGUUUUACUUGCUUUUGUGCAUUCUUUAAUUCCAGUUCCAAUAGUGAACGUUUAUUCGACUUAAAUGUCCAAAGAAAAGAAAUUUAAUGCAAUUAAUUAGCAGUACAUAUUUUUCAUGCUAGCGUUGGAUUAUCAACCUGAAAAGUAAUUUGCAUCUAACGGAUAAGGAAGGUGGAUCAAACUUAUUUUAACUUUGCCUUGAUGUCAGAGAUGGUGUCAUGAUGGCACUUGAUGACCAAUCUAAAAUGAACAGGAAACUCGAUUCAAUUUUGCUAUUAGGUGAUGAAUCUUAGUUCAUUUAGCUAUCGCUCACAAAUUGCAACCUUAAUCUCUGUCAUGCGAAAUAUUCAUUGACUUGUGAUGGAUAUUUUACAAGCUUCAACUUACUGUUUUGAGAUUGAGAAAAUAUCUUCGCUUUACCCUUCCGUUUCUUAUCCUUAUCUGAUUGCUUUUCAUAAUCAUAGGGUGGUGCAAAGAAGGUGAUCAUUAGUGCUCCUAGCAAAGAUGCUCCCAUGUUUGUGGUGGGCGUGAACGAGCAUGAGUACAAGCCGGAUAUUGACAUAGUCUCCAAUGCCAGCUGCACCACUAACUGCCUGGCUCCCCUAGCUAAGGUCUCAUUUGCCUUCAUAUAUAGUGUACCUUAAAGAACGUGAAGCCUUUUAGAAAUAGAGCUCAUCUUAUGUAUGUCUGGAUCAUCGCAGGUUGUCCAUGAUAGAUUUGGUAUCAUUGAGGGGUUGAUGACCACAGUACACGCAAUUACUGGUAAUUUUUUUGUGAAACAUAGUAUCACUUUUGUUCUUUUUUUGUAACUCUAUUUUUAUGCUCAAUGGUUUUUUUUUGUUCUAUUUUCUUUUCCUUUGUUUUUAGCUACCCAAAAGACUGUUGAUGGACCCUCUAGCAAGGACUGGAGGGGUGGAAGGGCAGCUAGUUUUAACAUCAUACCGAGUAGCACUGGAGCUGCCAAGGUAUGCUCAUACGUUACUCUGUCAACGUUAAUCCCCUCUCAAAACAGAGUUUAGUUGUCAGUCACACCCCCAUUAGCUGGGGUCAUCUUUGUUUGAUUCUUCAAAUAUGUAUGUCUCCUAUCCUUCUGUCUUGUUUGAAUAAUGCUUAAAAAAUGUUUGAACUUCUAGUUUGAUCAUGACUUCAUACAUGACAUUCCAUAUUUCCAUAUCUGUAGUGUUUGAGCAAGUUUUGGAAACAUUAAAUGCCAUUUAAAGGCCUCAUUUCUCAUCAUAUAUAUUACGAUUUUUGAGUUGGCCUUGUUGUGUGGAGAUGAAUCAUCUGAGUAAUGUGUUGAAUGAUUAUAAAUUAUACAAGUUUUAUAGAUAUAAAUAAUAAUUUAAUGCUUUUAUUAUCCUCAAAUAUUAUGGCUUGCAUCCUGAGUUUGGAUCGGAUCGUGGAUGAAUCUUUUUUUUUAAUUUGAUUACUGAUUCAUGUCUCAUUUUUUGGUUGAUCAGUGGCUUCACUUACAGUUGUGUGUUUUCUUGAUUGUCUAGGCUGUUGGGAAAGUUCUCCCUGCUUUGAAUGGGAAACUGACGGGGAUGGCUUUCCGUGUUCCUACUGUGAAUGUCUCUGUGGUGGAUCUCACUGUUAGGAUUGAGAAGGCUGCAACAUACGAUCAGAUAAAAGCAGCGAUCAAGUAUGUAUUCUGAAUAUUUUGCUGUAGAUACCUAUUCUAAAACAUUAAAUAGUUCAAGUAUAAUGUUGUCGUAUGCAUGAUAUCAGAUUUUAGAUAUAUUCUUUCUUUAAUAGGAGUACUUGCUAUGCUCGAUCUCUUAUUCUAUUUCGUGUGGCUUAUGUACGGUGUCAGAGACCUCAGGUAUAGUAUUUUGAUGCCAGAAGACUUGGGAGGUGGUGUAAUUUGUUCUGAUGGUGGGAGUUCCUUAUAUGUAUAUCUUGCAUUAUUCUAGUCUUACUCCUCAAUCAUUAAUGAUAGGGAAGAAUCCGAGGGCAAGCUGAAAGGAAUCUUGGGUUAUGCUGAUGAGGACUUGGUUUCGAUGGACUUUGUUGGUGAUAACAGGUGCUGUCUUAUGUAUAUAUAUAUAUAUAUAUAUAUAUAUAUAUAUAUAUAUAUAUAUAUAUAUCACAAAGAAAUUAGUACAGGAACACUCGUGGUUACUGAGAGUAACUCCCUGUUGCAGCUGCUUUUUAUUCUGUUUAAUUUGAAUCGUUCAAACAGGUCGAGCAUUUUUGACGCCAAAGCUGGGAUUUCUUUGAAUGAACAUUUUGUUAAGCUCGUGGCUUGGUACGAUAACGAAUGGGGUUACAGGUACUUUAAAAGUUUGUGUAUCUUAGGUAUUUGGUGGACUUCUCCUCUUACUGUCUUUUAAAUUAUUAUUAUUUCUUUUUUGAAUUUUACAGCUCGCGUGUGGUCGAUCUGAUUCGUCACAUGGCUACCACCAAGUGAAAUUUAGUUGCUUAACCCACUAUCUGCUGGUGUCGACUUGUUUGUGGUUUAUGUUUUCUUUAAAAUAAUUACCGUGUGAUUGGACUCGGGAUGGUUGUGUGACGCGACUGAUCUUUGUCUUAGUCGAGACUCGCGUGGAUCGAAUCUGGAGGAUCGUUUUUUCUACUGGUUGUGAUUGGUAUAGCCGGAAUCACCAGGCUUCUUGCACCAUGUUUUAGCUUCUGGUAAUUAGCUGCUACUGUUUCUUUAGACUGAGGUGAUGGUGAUUAGCCUUGCGGUCGAGAACUUGUGCUCGGUCUGUGGGCUAGUGUUUUCUAACAAUUUUACAUGUUUCCAAGUUGUGUUUUCAGUUCACUCAUGGUCUCUAUUUUCUACAGUUCAUAUGAAGUUUUAUUAAGAUUUUAUUAAGCCUUUGAACCGAGUAGAGUUCUUUUUUUUUUUUUUUGACAAAUGUUUGCCAAACACAAUGCAGAAAGAAGAACAGAGUCGUUAAAUCUCUCUUAACAUUCUGUAGUAAAGAUCCUCAGAGUACAAGAUAUUUCUCUGCGAAACCAUUUCUCUUAAAUCUCUCCGAAACCAUCAUCAUUCUUCUCCUUCCCGUGUCAAUAGGAUAAUCAUUCUUCUCCUUCCCGUGUCAAUAGGAUAAAGAUACAAGGCUAGCUCCGUUGGUGAUCAACCACAACAAUAUCCUGCAAUCAGGGCUGAUGGUAACAGAGAUUAACGUGUCAUAACAUGCAAUAUGUCGACUGAAAGUCAUCCAUAUUUCUUCCAAUCUGUAGAUACAAAGCCUACAAGUCCAGUUGAAGUACUUGUAAAAAGUUUAGUGCCUAUCCAAUAAGAACUAUCAAACAAUAUUGGAACCAAAGACUUCCGUUAGUUAAGCCAGUAUUACCUCUAUUAAGAUUAUCUUAUAAAAUUAAGAAACCAAGAUCCAGAAAACUUACAUCAAAUCUUUCACCAAAGAAUGUAGUAGAAUAUGAAGCAAGUAGAAUUUGCACGGAAAGCCAAAAUUUUACCUGUAGAUUUCCAGCGAGGACUACUGGCUUCGAAGAGUCAUACAUCCCAAAGUAAAGACCACGAUAGACCAUAAUCCCAACGCAUGAAAUAUUAAAUCCUUUCUAAAGUCCAGCAAUGCCAAACCCAACUGCAGGGUCUUCCGGUAAACAUCACCAAGACCACUGAAUUGCCGUUCCCCGCCCUUCUUCGCUGCCUUUGCAUCAUUUGCCAAAUGCGUACGAGCAUAGUCCACAGAGUACACGAAAACCACUGAACGAGCACCAGCAGCACCACCUGAAGCUAGAUUGCCAGCAAACCAUUUCCAGUGUCCAUCUUUGUCUUUCUUAAAAUUAAACAUCCUUUUGAAGGAAUCCUUCAAGGUAAAGUUCAGAGCCUGGAAGCGAUAAACUCAGUUUAUCAGUAAGUGGAGCUGAAGGGGGGAAAAAGCACAAUAAGCAAAACGGUAAGAAGGGCAAUUGGUAUUCCAGAAAGUGAAACUAUAAAUCAAACUAUAAAUAAUGCCAUUUGUUUCAUAUAUAUAAAGUGACUGCAAAAAUUGUACAUUCUUUUUUGUACAAAUUAUCAUAAAACAUGAUAACUAUGGGUAAAUUGAACCAACUGGUGACUGGUUAAUUUAACCGACUGAUGCUCCAUUUCCACAUUGUAACAACUGCUUGUAGAGAACAGAAAUCAUUCCAAUAAGUAGGUCAUGCAUCAAAAGCCAAGACCAAGCAGCAUGAAGUUUGAUGGUCACACAGAUUCCGCAAUUUUAGUUACCACCACUAUGCUGACAAACUAGAUUACAGAUCAAUAUCUGAGACUAUAACACUGAAAUCACUGUUUGAUGAUGGCUUAUCUAUGUUCGCAACAUAAGUUUUGAUAUUUAGACAAAACAUGAUCUAUAGUACAAGAAUGUCAUUAACGAAGAAAAACAUAUAAUGACACAGUAAGAAGAGUUUCUGAGCAAAAGAACAAUAUCAAAGUAGUUAAAAGACCAUGAAAACCAAGCCAAAUCCAGCCUGUUAACUACCAGACAUUUAAAGAAGCAGGUGCAAACUGAAACUUGACGAUCCAACACGCCUUCAUGGUGAUUUUUGUAUGAAGAAAUUCUGGGAUUAAAUUGAAUAAAUGUGUAACACAAACACAUAUAAGUUUACCUGAGCGGCAAAAUAACGAAUGACAUUAGCUGUGUUCCCUCUCCAUAGAGACAAAGCACCUUCAUCCUUAAUCGUUCAGGCAAAGCUGUCUCUCAUACAAAGAUGGCUACACAGGCUGCAGUUCAAAGCUUGUGGACCUCGAGAAAAUCUGGACCCGAGGGGGAAUGGGCUGGCAACUUUCUGCAUUACGAUUGGGUGAUUAACUUGAUCAGCCAUGGCAUGCCGAUAAAAUGACCUACAAAACAACCACUUUGAAGUUCUGCAGAAGAUAUUCUGAGAUUCAAGCAACAUUACUAAGAUAAAUUAUAACAUAUGGUCACUGCCAUAUUAACUCAAAGCAUGAGCAAUUACCAAGUCGUAGUAUUCCUUCAAAGAAUUAACAUGUCUACAGAUGUGGUGAGGUAGGAAAAAGUCAAAUGAACAAACAAUUUGCAUUACAGGACAUACAAAAUGUAAUAGCAUGAACAAAAUAGAAGGAAUAAAUCAUCAUAAAAGCAAACUCUAUUGUUAGUUCCAACUGAACUGCCAUGAUCACGGAACACAAAGUCUAAUUACUAGUUGAUCAUUAAACAACAAAACUUUGCUCCAACUACUGCUACAGCUCUGUUAUCUUUGUAUUCUUAAAAAAUCAAUGGGUCAAUGAAGAUGCAGCUGGCAGAUUUUGCGUUGGCUUCAUGCAUCUCUAUUAAUUUAUAACUCAUAGAUGAAAAGGUGGAUAUUCUUUAGAGAUCUGAGCAAAUGAAGCCAAAACUGCAAUCACGAAUACCCAACAGGCACCCUUGACAAGGUAAUAUGGGUAAUAUCAUCCCCAACAAUCUCAACUAUGUAUUAUAAAUUUAGCCACAUAAAAACCGCAAGUUAUAAAUCAAAAUAGGUAUCGUGAUGAGAUGAGAAGCUACAAGCUGCAAGAUCUAAAACCUCCAAGUCACCCUGAGAGGUCAACCACCUCGAAAGCUAUCGAGGACGGAAUUUGCCAACAAGGAUUACAGCAAAAGAGAGCAGAUGGGAUUCGUACACGAAAUCAAGUAUAUAGAACAAAAUCACCCUUAAAACCAUUGCAGAUCUACCUGAUCUAACAGUUUGCAGGACAACCAAAUCAACAGUCAUACCCACCAUAUCCAUGUCUUAAAACAAGAUUCCCAACCCUAAAUCGAUCGAAGUAUGAACGAGAAAAUGGAAAGCGCGACAACGAUAUGGAGAAAGAAAUAGAUAUCUACCAAACGGAUAGCUUAAUCAAAGAUACCACCGAUCCGAAACUUAGUAGAGAGCACACUUCUAAAUAUCUUCAAAAAGACUCGAAAAUAGAAAGAUGGAAGACAAGAAUCGAUCGAUCCACUCAGAUACACGAUCAGCAAUCACAUAAACGACAAGGCCUUUAAAAUAGAUUCAUAUUCUUAGAAAUCAAGAAAGAGUUCAUAUGGAAGUAGGGUUUUACCCUUCCGAAGCGUCUCCCUCUUGUCUCGGAGACAAGGCGAGAUGCGUUGGAAACGCAACGACGAGACCGAGAGAGGGAGUGGAGCGGUUAAGCCACUCCUGUGCUGUAUCAAAGGGCUUUCUGUUAACGUGCAAACCAUCGUCAGCGGGACUUGAUAUAUUGACCGUUGGAUCUCAUCAAAGUACCGACGAGCAAUAUGAUGAGCGGCGGAGCUUGAUUCUUUGUAAUUUGGACCAUAUAUUUCGAAGGUGCACGUGGCGGAGUAAAAAAAAAAAUACAACCAAGUCAUGCUUGUUGACCCGUUCGUAUACCGACUACUGUGUACCUCCUAUACGCAGGUGGGACCCGAUCAGUGAAGGAAGGCGGCAGUGACGACAUUCAAAAAGGUCGUCGGAGGCAUACUUCCACCUGCGUGCCGGCCACGUGACCGAACGCCGCUACCUACUGAACCGUGGCGAAUCUCUAUCGCAAUCGAGGCGAACCGGCGGAAACGGCUUUACUGGAGAGGAGAGAGAGAGAGAGAGAGAUCAGAAAUGAGAAUAAUAAUAAUAAAUAUUUCGAAUAUCAAUUUUCUUUUACUCAAAAGAUUAUUUAAAUCAAGAAAAGCUUAAAAAAGUGCCUCUCAAGACCAAAAUAGGGCAGAAUACAAAACUCAAGAUAAUUUUUUUUUCAAAAAAAUAGCACGGUAAAAAUAGUAUGAGUAAUAGAUUUGAGAUUUAAAUCUAACCUCAUGUACGUUAUUUAAUAUAAUAAAAAUAAAUGUACAUGCGCAAAAUAUGAAUAUUUAUAAUAUUAACCACACAUCACCAAAAACCUCAUGCCACAACUGGAACAGGUCAACAACGUUGGCCAAACGACCGAUUCCCACGCACGUAAAACGCUCCUCGCAACCGCCAAGCUUUGAGGUAGCAUCUCCGACUAUCCAUCCCGGCAACUGAAACACGCUAUAAAACCCUCCUUCCCAUCCCACAUUCCUCCUCAGGCCUGCACAGGAGGAGAAACAAGCCACCCCAAAUAAGUUUCUCUUUCUCUCUCGCUACCAUCUCUGCCGUAGCUCCAAGGCCACCGUCGUCAGCAAUGGAGAUGGGAAAGAUCGCCUGUGCCAUCCUCGUUGCCGCCGCGUCGGCCACCACCGCCCUUGCAGCCGAGGCCCCGGCUCCCGGCCCCGCCAGCGCCUCCUUCGCGGUCACCCCCGCUUUUGGAGCCGCCGUCGGGGCCGCCGUCCUCUCCUUCUUCGCCUUCUACUUGCAGUAGCCUCAAUGAGCGAGAGAGAGAGAGAGGGAAAGAAAGAAGGCAGCCCUAUAUGGGGAACGAAUGACACGACUGUUCUCUUUGUUUGUGAUCUAUUUCAACGUUGCAUCGUCCUUUGACUACCAUCGUUGUUGCCAUCUUUCUAUUAUGGAAUUAAUUUCCGAUUGAAAUGAAUGCACCAUAACAUUUGCAAUCACUUUGUUACCAAAGCUAUUGUUAAUUCGAAUUAGGGAGCUAAUCCGACAUGAAUCUUCCAUUGUUAUCAUAGCCAUCAGAGUCAAAGCAAGUUGCAUCACCAAACUCCUAAACGGACGACACCAUCACAUGAUGCAUAAGCUUGGCAGUGCAACAAUCAAAAGAAAACUAAGCACGUCGCCAUCGUAAUAUACACCCAACGUGAUGCAAAAGACUCUUCGAGGAGUAAUUAUUGAGUUUAAAUUUCC